Molecule: long non-coding RNA, 46062 nt
Filed under: Setaria viridis
Lineage: Eukaryota; Viridiplantae; Streptophyta; Magnoliopsida; Poales; Poaceae
Description: long non-coding RNA (SVIR_LNC008621)
Source: RNAcentral
GAAGGCAGAAACACAUACGGUUGGGAACAUACAAUAUCCAUCCGCAGGUAGUAGCUAGCGAUGGCAUCCGACAAGUCCAUAGCCGCUUCCCCUGCGCUCGUGUUCCUUGCCGUGGCAGCACUCAUGGUGGCCGCUUCCGUGCGCGCCCAGGCUCCGACGCCUGCGCCCACGCCGGCUCCAGCACCAACUCCGGCUCCGACUCCUGCUCCGGCACCAUCCCAGCCUGCGCCCACGCCGGCUCCAGCACCAACUCCGGCUCCGACUCCUGCUCCAGCACCAUCCCAGAGUCCUUGCCCUCCCGGCUUCUCCAACUCCACCGCGUUUAUUCUAGGGGUGAAGCAGUUCCUUAGACGCGGCAUCCUUCUGUUGGGGCCCUUCCUUGCGCCGGUCAUCCCAGGCACCAGCACCACAAAAUGCUUGUGCUAUUACUCUACCAACAUCACCACCAACGUCCAGCCCAUCGUGGGGAUCUUCCCGGUCCCGCCCAUCGUCAGGCCCAACGUCAUUGGGCCCAUCGCAUGCGUGCGUGGACCGGCCACCAUUAACUUCUAACUAAUUACUCGGAUAUUAUAUAUAAAUAUAUAAUACUAUGAAUAACGAGCUCAUCGUUUAUGUGUGUGCAUGCAUGCGUCGUGUCAGCAUGCAUGCGGAUGAGACUAAUUCGCACGUCACAGUACGCUGCGGUACUACAGGAGGAGAUGAGUUGAGUUGACCUAUACAGAUGUAACGGGGUGACAUUGUUCGUGUUGUGUUGUAAUAUGGCUAUCAGUUUGGCAGACCACUCUAAUCAUCAUUGAUAAUAAUAUUAAGUGGAUCUAUAUUGUUUUAAAAACAUUACUGCCCUCCGUUUCAAAUUACAGGUCGUUUUGAUUUUCUAGAUGCAUAGUUUUUGCUAUACACCUAGAUAUAGUAUAUGUGCAUAAUAGUAUUUACCAACUUAGAAAAGUUAAAAACGACCUACAAUUUGAAACGGAGGGAGUAUAAUGAGUAAACCCCUACGUCUAUAUCUACUAAAUAAUCUACCUCUACCAUUAUAAAAAUAAUCUAAUAAAGUAACCACCUAAUAUUAAUCUUAAUUAUCGACAUACUUCUGCCAUUAUGAAAGGUAAUAUAAUUUGACUCCAUAAAUUUACAACCAAAUAUCCACCUUUUUCAAUAAGAAAGAUCAUCUAAAGUGACCCCCUACAUUUGCAUAGAAAUUACCUAACUCAGUCAUUAUUGAAAAUAAACUAAAACAACCCCUUAGAUCUACAUGUAAAUUACCAAGAUAUGCUACUUAUGAAAAGAGUAUAAUAAAUUAAAGUAUCCCAACAUAUAUAUAUAUAUAUAUAUAUAUGCUUCAAAAUCACCGAUUUCUACCACUAAUAAUAUAUAAUAAAACAAACUUGAAGAAAGUAUACAUAUAUAUGUCUAUAUAUAUAUAUAUAUAUAUAUAAUACCAUAGUUUCAGUGGGAACCCAUUUGGUAGUCCUGGUGGGCCCAGGAUUACCAUGGGAUUUGACCAUUUUUCAAUUAGUACUUAGCCUAGCCCAAUACAAAUAGCCCGCACCUUGCUCACAGUUAGUUUUGACUUCAAUUUUUCAAUCAAUUCUCCACAGUUAUGUGAUCAUUGGUCUACUUGAAUGAUUUACAAUAAUUCUUAUGUAUCGGAUCUUGAAAGGCUACGUGAUAACUCAUAUGUUUACCAUUACAUUUUGUGUUAUGAUAAGUGAAUAUCAAUGUUUUAGUACUUUGCAAUAUUCCUUAUAGCAUACUUCUGUUACAAGGCCACAACCACAACUAAGUCUUUGUAUUUUUGAGAUUGUUUUCUUUAACAUGACAACCAUUGAUUUGUAAUAUACCAUUUAAUUUUCUCUUUUGAGUGCUUAAUUUGUCAUUUGUUGCUAUUAUAUUUUUAGUUAUGCAAGUUUCAAACUUAUAUUUUGAAUUUAAGAUAUUAUAGGAAUUUUUAAUAUAUUUGUAUUGUGAUUUUGAUUAUUUUAUACUUGUAUAUACCAUAUUUCUUGGAAAGGUAUUUCAAUUUGCAUGGCAAAUUAUACUCAUAUAUGAAAUUAUGUAUUGGUGUAUUGGCUGGCCAUGCCUAAAUUGAAAUCCUGGUCCGCCAGUGCAUAGUUUAACAAUCUUGGAAAAAGUUUCUUGAAUGAAUCACGUACCAGUGGCUCUAAGAAUGUAUUUUGGAUAAUACUAUUACUCUCUGAUAAUAUGUUAAUUGCUGCUUUAGACAAAUUUCUCAUGUUGGACGGAACAGUGUAACAUAUAUGUAUUAAUAGGUUAACUAUAAGCACUCAUUUUAAAAAUAAUGUGUACUACCACACUCAUAAUUCUUUGAUAGAGGAAAACCAACAUUUUGAGCACUACUAUGCUGCAGGCUAAAACGCCUGCUUAUUUUAUUGUAGUAACUGAAAAGUGCAGCCUUGGACCUAGAAUGAGGAAUAAUGUAGAGCCAGUCUAGGACUUCAGAAUUUUUAGAUUUUUUUUUCUAAUGCAUCUCGUGAGGAAUAACGUAGGGCUAGCCUUUAUGAUGUGCCCAUUCAUAGAUUACAUAAAUACUGUCAUAUCUGCUUCAAGCUGUCCGGGCUGUGAUAUACUGUCAUAUAAGAGAUUCUGCACAGAACCUAUUUCUGCAAUAGUUACAGUCCACAACUAGGCACACUUGAAAACUUUGCAGUGCAGUACAUCUGACUGUAACCACAGAACAGGUGAAUCGCAGCACGAGCAAACCAAGGAUAUGAGCUUUUCAGUGUAGAAAAAUUGACAAGGCAGAAUUACAGUAAAGAGACAGCUUAACCACAUGGCUUCAUGGUAGUUGCUUGACAUAAGCUCCUCUAACUUUCUAACUUAGCUGAGGCAGGGAGGCCUGCAUCGUAGCGAGCGGCGAUGUUGGUGAGGUUGCUUUUGUCGGGGACAAGCACGAAGGUAGCCUCCUUGAAGCCGAUGGUGUUGAUGCCCUUGGUGACAAGUCCACCAUUUCCAGAGCCUGCAUUCUGAGCUCCAUUGGGUAGUCCUUGACACAUCCAAUUCUUGGACCAGCCCCAGUGCUCCAUUUCAGGGACAGCCUGUGGCCAAGCUGAUAGGACUUGGACUCACCCUUGGACUUCAUCCUCUCAAGAAUCGCCUUCUGCAGGAUGCCAGUGGCUCUGGGACUUUGAAGGCCACCAGACAAGGUUCUUUGGUAGGUUGGUUUGGCUUGUUCUGCAGGAGCGUUCUCGCCUUCAUCGCCUUCUGUCAUGUUUGGAGAGGAAAUCACUUCUGGAGGAACUGAACCCAUGAAUUCAGCAGUAAGGUUCUGUGAACCAUCAGGCACCGGAUCUUCAUUGUAGUCUUCUUUGGUGGAUGAACGCACCUGAGUGGCCAAAACCAAGCACAUUAAAUGGAAUCAUCCGCAAUUUGGUGAGAGGAGCAUAUUUUAGCUUGUGAAUGGUUGAAAUGGUGUACCUCAACUUCUUUGAGAUCAACUCCAUUCUCUUCAAGGAAGUUCAUGAAAUUGCUUAGGUUCUCUGCGCUUGGUUUGUAGUGACCACUAUAGGCCCAGAUGGACUUAUCCAGAACAGAGCACAAAAAAUUAGCAGCCAAUAAGAAAGCACAGGAACAAGACAUAAUCAGAGUAUAAAAUAUUAGCAGGAUGAUAAAACAAUGAAAUGUAUGCAUGACACGCUCUUGAAAAAUUAGCCAGAUGAUAGAAUAAUGAAAGAACCCAUUAACUUGUCAUGGCUGAAUCAAGAUAAGUUGACAACUUGAUACUCCGAUGUGUACUAGAUAGAUGUAAAUUCAGAAACUACAUUUUCCCACUAUACUCCUCCAAAUUUCAGGGAAAAUAUUUUUUAUGAAUGGAUACGAGUUUAUAUUUUGUAUUUGUCCUCCAAAAAGUAUUUCAAAACAUUUAUCAAUGGUAGCUUAUGGAAUAGAAAAGAAUGAUUUGAAGGACCAUGCACGAUGAAUUCAUCAAUUCCAAGACACCAAGAGAGCUUUUUGGUCAAAGGUGCUUGAUUAAGGGAUAGGCAAUAACCCAGGCAGGAAUACAAAGAAAGCAAAAUACUAUGAUAAAAAUGCAUAAAAAGCUAACACUUAAUAGGGUAUGGUUGCUCAAAAAUACCUUGAUAAUUCCAUUUUCCGCUGUAAAUCUUCCAGCAGCUAUAGUAGUGCCUCCUGCUAAAAAGCUGGAAUGCUGGAAUACACCUCUCUCUUUCUGGAUGGAUAAAUCAGGAUACAGAAAUAGAUUUAGCGGUGCUAAACGUAAUGUGACAAAAUGAGACAUAAGACAUACUAUUGUUACAGCAGAAAUGCAAGUGCAAAACCCGUAUGAGUACAAAAGUUACCUUCCCAGCAUACAGUCUUUUUGCUGUGCUCAUAACAAAAAUCCAUUUAGUCCCUUUAGGACCUUGGCUUGUAUCAAGUGGUUCUCCAGACUGUUUGUGUAUAAUCUUUCCCUCAUUAAUGAUGUAUUCAUAGUUCUCACGCUCUUGCUGCAAGACAUUAGAUAAUUGUCAGAGCUUGUAACCCUUUGGGAGGUUUCAUUCCAAGAAAAUGUUAAGUUUGCUAAAAAGAAAUUCCUUUUGCUGUGCUUGACUAUGUAUACUAUUUUAAAGCCAAUGCACUUCUGUUAAUGGUCAUGAUUCACGGUUUAAGUGAAUAAUAGUACGGACAGAAGCAGGACAGUUCGUGCUUGAAUCUAUUCAUGUUUGGAAUCACAAUUCAGGCCUGAGGCUGCACCAAAUGCAGUUCAUAUAUGAAGCAAUUUGAUAGUAUAAGUUUCAAUUUGAGAAACAUAAUCUAGUACAAAGAUUGUAAUAUAUAUAUUUCUUAGAAAAGAUGAAUCGCAAAAGGCUUCAGAGACCAACAUAAAUUCUGCCGGUGAAGUCAGUCGAGCAAUCAUACAGCUCCUGACAGAUGCUUUGAGGAAGGUUAUAUGGCAUGAGUUCUAAACAAGGAUAGGCAGACAUUGUGGAACAUUUCUUACCGGACCAAGAUACUUAAUGCAUUGCUUCCUCAGCUUUGCUCUUGGACACUCUGGAAGGUCUAGCUCCUUUCCUUCUCCAACAUCAAGCCUGUAUGUGUCAACAACUCACUUAAAUUGUCAUGUAAUAAAACUGAACUGAAAUUCCUAGUAUAAACAGUGAUUCAACCUUAACUAAAAUAUCUGGUAUGAGCAGACAGUCAAAUAUGUCCAUCUCUCUCCCAUUUGUUAUGCAGAGUGCACUACUUUGUUCAAAUAAGAGAAUCUGCAAAUGUAACUAAGCAAAUUGCAGCAAUGUUCUUACCAGUAGAAGAAGGGCUGGCCGGCCUGGCUUUGACACCAGACAUCGUAGUAGAAGUGCAGGUUGUGCCCAUAUCUAUGCCGCGGGUCGAUCUGUACAAGAACAAAAUGAAUACUGCUAUAAACAGGCAUUGCAUCUAGUGUAUCACUCUAAGAAGAGGAGAUGUGCAUCACUUGUAUGACGUCAAUAGUGGACCUUUUAUGAUCAAUGUUCGCACAUGACUUUUUCUUUUUUAAACCGAGAAUGUUCACACAUGACUAAAACUGCUAGGUCAACUGAUACUUAAAGUAGCCUCUUCACGCACACAUGAGAGCACAGCAACAAAAUCUAAAAAAGCAAAUACUACUAAACUGACAAACAGUACUCUAGUGGGAUUUGUACGAUUUGUACUCACAGCCUCGAUCCAGUGCUGGAAAGCCAGCUUGAGAGCCUUGCCGUCUCUGGAUAAACCCUGACCCACCUGUUACAAGCAAGCAAAAUGAGCAUCAAAGGAAACAAAAAAAGAAAAACGUUUUCUGGUGAAGAAGACAGAGGACAUGAGGGACUUUUGUGCAUGUUUUCUCAGGUAGCAAUUGGGGGCACCUUGGAUGCAUUGAGGCUGACCCGGUUCCAGCGCGAGGCGGCUGUCUCCGGCUUGGGUUCGUCGAAGAAGGAGACGGUGCUGUGGCUGAGGCGCGCGAAGUCCAGCGCCUGCCACCUUCAUCCAUUCAUCCGACAGAAAUAAAAAUAAGAACCCUUCGUUUCAGUUAAAGCUUCCCCCCAAACAAAUCCUCAUCAGUUACCAUCGAUUUCAACAGCCGUUACCAUCAACAAGAACCAAACUAGGCAUUUCUCUGGGGGACACCAAAAUCGCUAAGAAAGGAGGCACCUUUUCAUGGAACAGUACAUCAAGAACCAGUGGGGGAAAAUUGUACUAGCAAUGAAGGUUGUUUCAAGAAAGGGACCGCUCUCCUUUAACAAAUCAAACGGCACGAAAUAGGAGCCGGUAGUCUCCCAGAAGAGAUGGAUAUGAGUAGAAGUACCAGAGCUCCUCGACGACGACGGCGGAGUCGGCGAGCUUCCGGCGUGUCCGGUAGCCACGGUAAGCCUUCUGCAGCUUCGUCGCGGCGCCAUCCUCGCCGCUCCCGCCGGCGCUUCCCUCCACCGGCGGCGACGGAGAUUCCAGUUUGUCCGACUGAAACCUUGGAGGAUCCGUAGAAUCCAACCCCAGCGGAGGCGGCGCCGCCUCCACCUCCAUUUCUUUGAGAUUUUAGGAGCGAGAACGGUUCUGCUUGUGCAGUCAGCACCUUCGCAAAGUGUCGAGAGCAGAGCAGGUGGGGAAUUUAAUCCGGGUUAGCACGCGAGGCGAUGGAAUAAUUAAAUGCGUUUAAUCUUGAGGAUUGAGAGAGAGAGAGAGAGAGAGAGAGAGAGAGAGAGAGAGAGAGAGAGAGAGAGAGGAGGGGGUCGUAUCGUAUCUCAUUCGCCGGGGUGGUACGGACCUGCGGAUACGACGACGACGAGUCGUUGGCGCCACCUACCGGCUGUCCGGCUCUGUGCUUUCUGUUCCUUGGCGGGUGGCGCCAUUACUGCGCGAGGCGUGGCUGGCCCACAUGUCAUGGAGUGAUUAGCAGCAGCGCCAUGAUGACCAAGGCGUACUUGCUAGGACGACUAGCUACUAGCUACUGGUGCUAAUGGAAGACUGACUCUGACUCGGUGAGGAAGCUGGCACACGGCUGUGUGGGCGGUGACGGCCUCGACACCUGUCGCUCUCCGGCGCCUCCGCGCCGGAUCGGGACCGGUCGCCGUCGUUGUCGUCGACGGGCUGCACGCCCCCGUACGCGCGCACUCUGUGCUUUUUGUGCCUGUCGUGGCUCCUCUCUGCUCUCCGUUGCAGAAUCUUGUGCUAGGCUGCUAGCAUAGCACACACAACUCAGCUGACAGAGGUACUCCGUACUAGGCACUGCACCAACUCAGCUGACGGAGGAAUUGGAUACGUGAUAGCAGUGUCACGUGAGAUGUUAUAAAACUAAUGCAGAACUUCUAAUUCGCGAGACGAAUCUAUUAAGCCUAAUUAAUUCAUAAUUAACAAAUGGUUAUUGUAUCACCACAUUUUCAAAUCAUGGACUAAUUAGAUUUAAUAGAUUCAUCUCGCCAAUUAGACUCCAUCUAUACAAUUAGUUUUGUAAUUAUUCUAUAUUUAAUACUAAACAUCCCAUCCAACAUCCCAUCCAACAGUUUCCCAUCCAACAGUUGACUCGCAAGCCCCGCAGGCCUUCGAGAAUGGAGCCUGCAAACCCGAUGCCGAUGGAACGCACGCCGAGGUCAACGUACGAGAACCAAGAUCGCAUCACGGCCGGGGCGUGUGCGUAUACGGAAGGGAAAUAAAGAGCUACCUGCUCCCCAGAGAACAGGUCGAUCAGUCCAAGCUGUGAUAGUAUAAUGUUCCGGACCCAUAAUAUUAUUAUUAACAUUCAGGCUGCAGGCAGGGCCCAGCUGCACGUCACGGCCAACGGCCAACGGUGAGAAAGUCAGAGCUGGUAUUCUUGUACAGUUCUGCACCCAAUCAUGUGUCUGCCAAACAUGCAUCACACCGUCGCAUCACGUCUCGCUUCAGCCUUCACUUAUCUCGGUUUUGCACAGGCAACCUCACAUGGUCUUCCUCUGAUUUCUCCGGACUAGCGGAUGCAGAUGAUGGCAUUUUGUUUGACCCUCCGACGCAGGGACGGGUUAGGAUAGGAUAGGGAGAUUAGGGAGCAGCUAAGUUAAUCGAUGGACAAAAUAUUAAAACAUAUAUUUAGCUCUUAAAAGAAACAAAUGGACCAUGAGGGCGGAGCCUACUGCCUCCAUCCCUGUUCCGACGUCCUGCAGUUGCGUUUUAUCCAUCGAUCUACGUGACAGGGACCGUGGUAUCCUGUCCAUGAGAUAACCCAUCUCUACGAUAUAGAUACAGAUAUGCAUUAAAAUGGCUAUUAGAGCAUCUCCAGCAGAACUAUUAUAUUGCAAGAGUUUGUAAAAAAAAGUGCUCGGAGAGACUUUUUUCCCCAAUAAUUAUUAGAACAACCCAAUAAUUCACCCCAACUUUUUUUUUUAAAAAAAGGAGAAGUUUAACUAUCAAAUACGGUAGAAGUUGUAACUAUCCCAAGUCUUCCGGUAACAAUGAAAUGGAUAUUGGGAUAUCCCCAUUAAUUAGUUAUUAGAAAAUAUUUAUUGCUCUUAGGACCCAAAAAUAGCGAGCUAGUAUAAAAAUCGCAAUAUCUAAUAAUUAAUUUUUCCCAUCUACGUACUACAAUUAAGAAAUACAGCGGUCGAUAUAUCACAAAAUUAGAUCAUUCCUGCACUAGCACGUGGCACGGUAGUACCCUACUUCCCUUGUGUUCAUUACUCUAUUAACCCAAUUGCUUGGUAACCACUACAUAAAGAUACACUGGUUGAUCCACAAAAUCAUAAGAAAAAACCAGAUAAAAAGGAAAAGAAAAGAGAGGUUAAAAAUAGGGAGCAAGGACCAGGGACGACGAAGCGAGGUGACGGUGGCAACACCAUCCGAGCGGUAGAGGCCAUCCGGCGGACAGAAUCAGCACGGGAGCGAGACUGCGAGCAUGGGCAGUGGUUAGGAAGGGUGGGGGUGGUCGAGUGGAGAUGUGGAGUCUGAUUGAUUUUAGCAAGUCAAAGUUUUGGCAAAUCAAUCUUUUAGCUACUAUUUAGUUUGCUUCUAAAAUUUGCCAACAUCUUUCAUUUAUUUUAUUGAAAUAUUGGCAAACUUAUUACUCAUCUUUUAGCUUGCCAAAAUUUUAGCACGCCCAAAUUUUGGCAUAUCAAUCAUGCUCGUGGUUUCAGGAGGCGGAGAGAACCACCGGUCCGGGAGCGAGACUACGGGCAUGGGCAGUGGUUAGGAAGGGUGGUCGGGUGGAGAGUGGAGUCUGAUUGAUUUUAGCAAGUCAAAGUUUUGGCAAAUCAACCUUUUAGCUACUAUUAUUUGGUUUGCUUCUAAAAUUUGCCAAUAUCUUUCAUUUAUUUUAUUGAAAUAUUGGCAAACCUUUUGCUCAUCUUUUAGCUUGCCAAAAUUUUAGCACGCCCAAAUUUUGGCAUAUCAAUCAUGCUCAUGGUUUCGGGAGGCGGAGAGAACCACCGGUACGGUGUUGAAGAUAUAAAGUUGCACGUGCAGUUCGCAUGUUGCCAUAACCAAUUUAGGGCAAGUACAUUAGUGUUAUCUAAUAGGGGGUCUCAUGCAUUGACACGUAAUCUUGAGAUGACUUAAUAAACAAUCUGUACCAUGUCUUUUUAAGUUAUCUUAUAGUAAUUAUAUUUUCUUAAUUUGUGCAUAGAAAAAGAAAGAAAUAUUGUGAGUUGCAUGCAACCACAAGUCGUACAAUAAUGGUUGAGUAGUCAUCUUAUAAUCCUAAAAUCUAACCUAUGAGGUGGUUAUUUCGUGAAACAAUAACCUCUUUCUCUUUCACCAUCCUCUCUCCUCCGCAUCAUUAAAAAUCUCACGUGGCAUUAUAUGAGACUGUAGUGUAGCAAUGUACAAUGAACUUCACAGGUCAAAUAAAAGAAUUUGAAGGCCUUCUUAUAACGUUGGGCUUUUCCCUUAUGGACGACGGCCCAAAGCGACACUACUAAUUGGAUGGAAGUACAGAUGAGGCCCAAAAGCACCAUUCUGCGUGAGCAACAGGCACAGCGCAUGGCGACUGCCGACAUGUGAACAACGCACGGCCGUAGUUCAGCAGAAAUGUGACUCUGCUAAAAGAAGGCAGAAAUGUGACUUGAGUCUUAAAAAAAAAAGAAAUGUGACUGUGAGAUUUAGAAAUGUACGAUUUGUGCAAAGACUAGGAUGCAAUGCCACUCGAUCCCCUGCACCUUUUCUUCGAAAGCAAAACAUGCAAUUAUUUGACCUCAAUCAUAGAGAAAUGAAUAGGCCAUUAGGACAAGGGGAGUAGUACGUACGAGGUAGCGUCGCAACUGGGAUUGCUUCGUUUUGUAGGCCGUCAUGCACAUGACUUAGACUGUGUUAGCAUAGAUUCUUUUCUUACAGAAACAGGUUUCCAGCCCCCCGGCUUAAUCGGGUGACGCGUGCACUAUUAUCAGUAUAUUACCACGACAUAUAAUGUACAGCUAAAGCAGCUGACGAUCGAGCUGACCCUGAAAACCUGCGAUGGAUGAAGGAAGCUUCACAUAGCUGGAAAGCAGUAGUCCACGGGUACGUGUCCCGGUAUAAAGUUCAGUACGUGCAAGCAUGGACGCGUAUACAAGCUAGGCAUCAUGUACACUUGGGAACGUCGCCAAAAUCCCGUCUUGAACUAUACGCAGUGCCCCGUGAAGUUAGCUGAUAUACGACCUUUCCAUCGCCUAUAAAUUUGGAGCAAUCUUGCAUGAAACCAUAUCCCAUCACAUUCGGCACCACUGCGGCUAGCUCCACAGCCACAGUGCAGUGUGCUUUUCUGUAGUCCAGAUGGCUAGGCUGGGGGCAUUGCUUCCUUUGGCCCUCGCGGCUGUCGUCCUCCUGCUCGCCGUCGCCGUGGACGCCGCCACGCCUGCCGCCAGGCCACCCAAGGCCCAGGGGCCGAAAGACCCGCAGCCACCGCGGAACGAGAAGCCCAAGCCGAAGCCGAUGAAGGUCAAGUGCAAGGACCGCAAGCUCUACCCUUACUGCUAUGGUAAACCCAUGGAGUGCCCCGCCGAGUGUUCCCAGUCGUGCUACGCCGACUGCAACUCCUGCAAAUCCGUCUGCGGUAAGCACGCUAGCUCCAUCUCCCUUGAUCUUGAUUGACGACGACGCAUCUAUUGAUCUUGUCCAUCUGUUCUGAUAUGCAGUGUGCAGCGUUCCGGGGGCCUGCGGCGACCCGCGGUUCAUCGGCGGCGACGGCAACGCCUUCUACUUCCACGGCCGGAGGGACGCCGACUUCUGCGUCGUCUCCGACCGGGACCUCCACAUCAACGCCCACUUCAUCGGCAAGCGCGGCGCCGACGGCAUGUCUCGGGACUUCACCUGGAUCCAGGCCAUCGCCGUGCUCUUCGACGGCCACCGCCUCUACGUCGGCGCCCGGAAGACCGCCGCCUGGGACGACGACGUCGACCGCAUGGAGCUCGCCCUCGACGGCGUGCCCGUGAGCCUCCCGCAGGAGGUGGACGCGACAUGGACGUCCAGCGCCGUGCCGAUGCUGUCGAUCACCCGCACCAAGGCGGCCAACGGCGUGCUCGUCGUGCUCGACGGCAAGUUCAAGAUAAGGGCCAACGCCGUGCCCAUCACCGAGGAGGAGUCGAGGGUGCACCGGUACGGCGUCACCACCGACGACUGCCUCGCGCACCUCGACCUGGCCUUCAAGUUCGACACGCUCACCGGCGACGUGCACGGCGUGGUCGGCCAGACCUACCGCUCCGACUACGUGAACGGGUUCGAUGUCAAGGCAUCCAUGCCCACCAUGGGAGGGGAGAGCAACUUCGCCACGUCCAGCCUCUUCGCGCCCGACUGCGCCGUGGCGCGUUAUCACGCACCAGCUGGUCACCGUGGUGAUGGCGUUGCAAUGGCGUGAGAGCUCGCUGGCGCCAUCACCUGUGCCAGUGUGGUGUGUGAGGAGUAACUGAAGGUGUACCUCUACUUAUUAUAUACUGCAAGCCCAAGAGCGGGGUAAACUACGAUGUUGUCGGAGUUGUACCAUGCAUGCAUGUUUGCAUGGUCGUGAAAUUCACAGUAAUAAACUUGCUAUUGGUUGAUGUGUUCAUGGAAAAUUAUAAUGUCAAUUAUAUUGGUGACUUAUAUUUUAAUGCAUCCUUUUUAAUUGAAUUUUUCCGUUGGCUGACCUAGAGUCUUUGUAUUCAGUAGUAGCGGUCGCUCAAGUUAAGGUUUGGAUUUUACUUAGAUCAAUAUAUCUUUGAACAGUGGUCGUUUUCAUUGGUCAGUGAGAUCCCAACUUCAAGUGCUAAAUCAAAGUUGUCUAUAAAUAGAGAAGAAGUGGUCCUGCGAUUGUAAGAUUCGGAUCAUAUUGAUUGGAAGCUGGAUCGUUCGUGUCAAGUCUCCACCAAAUGAGGAGAUAACCUCACCUCCGAUCGGGCACCCUACUUCCCAUCAGAAUCAGCGUCCAGAAGCUCCUUCCUAGAUUCAUCCUGCAGUAUGUUCGAGAAGAAUGUAACGAGGCAUCACAAACAACCAAUGCAACCAAAUCAUCCAAAGCAGUCAAGUAGUUAGCCGUUUAUAUGUAUCCACUUGGGGAAAUUAUUCUAGGUAGCCCCGCUGGUUGGUCCCCAAGAAUAUAUCCAUCUACUUGCAGUUUUCAUUGCUCCUCCUCGAUAUUGUACUGCAGUGCAGGCCUUACCUGCAACAGGAAUGGAUUAGGAGGAAGAAGCUAGUAAAUCGGAGCCUCCUAUCCUAUUUUUAUAUAUAUUUUGAUGAAGUAACAAAAUCAUAUAUACAGCAAGUUUAGGUGAAGAUGCAUGAAUUGAAAUCGGAGGGUGGUCGCCGGUCACGGGCCAGCAGUGAGCACUGAGCAGCGAUCAGGCGGUGACGAGUGGGUGAGAUGGCGAGUGGGCUGCAACUUCUUGGCUGCUGCCCAAAGCCCACUCACCAACCUCAGUCCAGUCAGAUGCUAUAGACUAUGUUGAUAAUACUCAUGCCGAGGAUGAAAUAACCAAAAUGAAACACAACAGAAUUCAUAUUGCUAGGUGAUAACACAUUAUACAACUGCUGCCAACGCAAUGUUCUAUGUCGCUAUAUAAAUUCAGCAUGGCAAUAAUAUACAUGACCAAAAGCAAAGCUAAGUUUAUCACUAGAACCAACGUAUACAUUAGCAACAUCACAUUGUCGAAACAAGUGACCAAGCGACCAUAAUAUCUAAUGUGCAGAAGCCAAGGCGGCGAAGAACGCCAUGGCUUGCACCACCCUUCUUAGCCUUACAAGACUUGUUCUUGUCCACCACAAUUUCCUCACCUCGCCCUGCCUUCACACAAACCUCCAACACAAACCUGGCCUGACUCGCAAGGAUAUAGUUGCCUCCACCGAAUGAACAAUAGAGCCAAGCUCAAACUCCAGCGAAGUCAAGUUGCGGUAAGGUACUGCUAGAAAGCUCAUGCUUUCAUCCUCAGAUUGAGUAGUGCCCUUAACUUUCAGGUCAACCUCAAAUGUCACAGGGUCCACCAAUACAACGGCACGGGUAGGAUCUGUCAGCUUCAAAUGUGGAUCCUAUCUGCAGUGCAGCACCAUUAAAUAAAUACUAGGGUAAAUGGAAGUGAAUUUCAAGAGGUUACCAGCAUAACAAACAAUACAGAACAUUACAAAUCAGUAUUGUAAACACGAAGUGCACAACAGAAAAGACGCCGUAAAAUUAUUAGUUUGGUGCAUCAUCGACAGACAAAAAAAAAACACAUUUUACCAUUGGGAGGACUAGUAUGAUUGCUUCGUCAGGUAGUGAAUAGGAAAGCAAGAAGCAACAAUCAAGGCAGCGAACAACUGGUAAUUAAGAAAUAAUUAUACAGACCUCUUGGGUAAGGAUUUGGCAGCUCUCUCUCGGGCAGUGAAAGAUCAUAUUGCGAUUGUGAUCAACUACAUCACGUACAGCAACCUUGCCAAACACAUGCAUGGAGUGGCCACUGUAAUCCUUCUCUUAACUUUGCGACUUUGAGUGAAUAGAUCUGCCGGGCCGCCCAAUCAAAAAGAAUAAAUGGGCCAAGCUUGGACCGCUCGGAUUUUUUCGGGUUGGCAAAAUGACACCACGUCCGGCCCUAUAAAGACCACGGGCUGAGCUUAGCCCAACGGGCUUGGGUCGAGCCGGGCCGCCCAAUCAAAAAAAUCGGGCUGAGCUUGAACCGCCCGGAUUUUUUCAGGCCGGCAAAAUGCACACCACGUCCGGCCCUAUAAAGGCCACAGGCCGAGCUUAGCCCGGCGGGCUUGGGCUGAGCCAUUGGGCCAGGUCGGGCCGAGCCACAUUUGCUCAGGUCUAGUGCACAGCAGUAAAUAAACGUAGCUAAUAAAAAGUGCUCAGGUCUUGCUGCUAUUCAGUACUAAUAGCUAACAACACAAAGCACUCUCAUAUCUAGUUAUCUGCUCCGUCCUCUGCUGGUGGCGCCCAAGACUAUCAAUCUAGUAUUCAGGUUCGUUGGCACUCAUAGCCUGCAUGCGGAUAUUGUGCUAUGUGCAAUGAUAAGAAUUGAAGCUAACGCCAUAAUAGAUUUUAAAAAUCAUUUCAUUUGGUCAGUUCCACUAAUAUCUUCAUGCAAUUGUCAUGCUAUCCUGAAUGUAUUAAUAUCUCUAUUUACACUUUGCUUUUGAAAAAAACAACUAUAUAUGUACUAGAUUGUCUUACCAUAUAACAGAGCACAUAAGGGUGAGUAUGCGUGUGUGUGUUAACUUCUUCCUCUACACAAUUUUCGCAAAAAUAUGAUAGAGAACUAGUGUUUAUUUUAGAGAUGAUUGAGGUGAAAGUAAAUUUGGUAUCCAUAAAUAUAUAUUAGCAGUGGAAUAUUAAAUUUAAUUAAGCAUUUAAUUUACAUAAGUAUGAAACUAAAAGUUUGUUGCAAAAUUUGAAAAUUAUAAAUAAUCAAUAUAUAGUUAUACCUUAUGUGCAUAAUGCAGACUUCAUAUUAUUUAAUAAGUAUCAAAAUGUGACACUGGCAGAAAAAUACUUCUAUCCAAUGCAAGGGCUCCUUUUCUCUCCAUCUGCCAAAACCCUCACAAGCCCACUCUCCAAUGGUAUGCUCAUUAGCGUCCGUCCGUCCGUCCGUAGUAGCAAUCUACUUGUAUGUACACCUGUAUGUACUCUCUGAUGCUCAAUGUAAGUUUGGGCUUUCCAAUUGCUAAGCAUGCUACACCUGUAUGAACUUGUGAUGCUGCAUCACGUGCCAUCGAUUCCAUUUAUCAUCCAUGAUGCUGCUGCUGAGCUAGCCAUUUCAAGGGAUGCACGUCUGGGUCGUGCUCAAGCCAUGGCACCUGUAUUGCUCGGACAGCAGCGUAUUCCAGUGACAGUACUUGCUAACCCUUUUACCACGGAUGCCACUAGGUCACCUCGCAUUAGCUACCAUGGCGUUCUGAUGCAUGACGUGGACAAUGUUACAUGCAAGGUGAUGCUCUUCUUCCGGGACACUGACUGGUACUUUGUCAGCUUUCAGCGUUGCGUGGUGGUUGUGUUGCCUAAUGACAGUCUACAAGAAAACUGGGGGGUGGAGAUUCUUCUUCAACGAUCUCGUCAAGGACAAGGAGGUUCCAGCAUUCUUGUAUAUCGUGAAGAUGGGCAUUGGAUUGUCUCACUCCGACAAAGGGUAAGGACGCAGUUUCAUUCAUCCAUCCAUAUUUAUUUGUUUUGGUCCCCAUGCUUGCUUUUUGAUGUUUUGGUAUAUUAUUUGCUGAAUUAGUAAUAUGCACUGUGCAAAGACUUUCCAGGCCCGAGGCUAUGGCUGACCUCUUCAACACGCUGGUCGGAUUUGAAGAUCAAGUAUACAUUCACAACAACGGGACAAUCGGAGAGGUGAGAGGAUUGACUCCAGCCUUGGAAGAUGACUUGAAGAUAGCCAUCAGCAGGAUCAUCAUUGUGUUCUGUGAGGCCAUGAGAUUGAGAUCCAUCUACCUCCUCACCCACGCCAGCCUUGGCGGCCAUGAGUACGCAACCCUCUUACCGUUCGCCUGUGGAACCUCUUGCGCUCAUGGGGGAAGUUGUCAGAUUACGUGCUGAGGAUGAGGAGGCAGGGUAGCAUGGACCUCAACAAUGAGAUGGAUCCACUCAAUGCCGACUUGUCAUCCCACGGGUUCCCAACAAUGACCCUCAGUGACUUGAUUGGGCCAAAUGGGGAAGAUCGAGGUAGUACGAAUCAUCAACCUAAAGAACCUGAGCAAUCGUUUAGCCAAGCGAGGAGCGAGGACCAACUUCCCCGAACCUAACUUUGUCAUGCCAGCCACUCCAGAAGCAGUAGGAUUAGGAGGAGGAAGAGGGAGAGGUAGGGGGAGAGGAGGAUGAAUGAAUGUGAUCUUAUCACCAUUUAUUUGUGUUAGUUUAACUUUUGAGCAGAGAACAUCGACUACUUCUGCUUAAUGCUUAUUAACCUCUCCUGGUUGAACUUAAGAAGAUUCAUUCAAACUAGAUUGCAUCUAAGUCAUAUUUUUGGAUAAAGCUUUCAUAUUUCGCUAGCAUCUUGCCCCUUCUGUGGUUGUCUAUGAUUCUGCUCUGCAUGAUCUCUUGAUGAAUAGCUUGAUGGGCCGCUGCCCUCUAUUGAGCGCUAGGCUAAACCUAACCCUAAGAAUGGCGUAUCCUAGUAGCCUACCUGUAUGCGGCAUGGAAACUAGAAAGAAAAUAAUUGAAGAACUUGGUGAUGAGCCCUAUGCAAUUUUAGCUGAUGAGUCCAGUGAUAUAUCACAUAAAGAACAACUAGCUCUUUCCUUGCGUUAUGUUGAUAAACUUGGAAGGCCUUGUGAACACUUUAUUGGAGUUGUUCAUGUAGAUGAUACUACCUCUUUGUCACUUAAGGAAGCUAUUGAGGGUUUACUUGUUAGUCAUGGAUUGACUAUGACUCAAAUUAGAAGUCAAGGUUAUGAUGGGACUAGCCAUAUGAAAGGAGAUAUUAAAGGGCUAAAAAUAUUGAUCAUGCAAGAAUCACCUUCUGCGUAUUAUAUUCAUUGCUUUGCACAUCAACUCCAACUAGUUCUUGUUGCUGUUGCCAAGAGAAAUACUGACUGUAAGAGUUUUUUUUGAUUAAGUAUCUAUCUUAUUGAAUAUUAUUGGAGUUUCUUGCAAGCGUCAUGGUAUGCUUUGAAAUGCUAGGCUUGAGAAUAUCAAGAAAGCACUGGAGUGUGGUGAGCUUGAAUCAGAGUGAUUAAAUCAAGAGAUGAGUUUGCCUAGGCCUGGUGAAACUUGAUGGGGUUCUCAUUACAAAACUAUAUGCGACAUCAUUACUACGUAUUCCUCAAUCCAUGAUAUGCUCAUUGAUCUUGGUGAUGAUAUUUAACAUAAGGAUGAUUGGACAAAGAUACAUUUUGUGUUGGAGCAUUUGAAACCUUUGAGUUCGUUUUCUUUGUGCACUUAACAUAUGUUAUUCUUGGAUACACAGAUUGAGUUAUCCGAGUGUUUGUAGAGAAGGGAUCAAGAUAUUCUUAAUGCGAUCCCCUUGUUAAUGUGGCAAAGAACAAAAUGCAACAAUUGAGGUCUGAUGGUUGGGACCACUUCCUUGAGAGGGUUAUUUCUUUUUGCAUUAAACAUAAUGUUGAAGUUCCUGCUAUGGAUGGUGAUUAUGUGCCGUAUGGAAAAUCAGCAAGGUAUGCCCAUGCCUGAAACCAAACAAAUGAUGACCAUUUUAGAAGAGAAGUAUAUAUUGGUGUCAUUUAUCAAAUUAGUCAAGAGAUUGAUAAUUGGUUUGAUAAGAUCAUUAUGGAGCUACUUUCUUGUAUGUCAACCUUCAGUCCUUCCAAUUCAUUUGCUUCGUUUGAUGCACAGAAGGUACGUAGAUUGGCUGAAUUUUAUUCUAAGGACUUCUCCAACAAUGAUUUGCUAAAACUUGAAUUGCAACUUGAUAAUUAUAUUGAUGACAUGCGACGAGAUGAUAGCCUCAAGGGUCUAGACAACAUCGUUGAUCUUUCAGUUAAGCUUGUUCAAAUACGGAGGCACAAAGUGUAUGAUAUGGUUUACUUGCUUCUCAAAUUGAUAUUGCUUUUACCAGUGGCAACAACGAGUGUUGAAAGGUUAUUUUUUACAAUGGUUAAAGUGAAAAUAAAGUCAAGGAAUAAGCUAGGUGAUAGUGUUUUGGACGAUUGUCUAGUCACAUUCAUUGAGCGGGAUAUUUUGUUCCAAGUGAAUGAAGAAGAUAUAAUCAAGAUAUUCACGUCAUUCAAAAAAUGGCGGGUAAACAAAGCAGACAAGUAAUAGUGUAAGUUUCUUUUAUGCUAUAUUUUGAACAAUUUAUAUUGUGAUUUGUUAUUGUUUCUAGCUUAAUCUUUGAAUUUACCGAAUUGUAAAUGGUUUCACUGAAUUGCAUAAGAUUUUUUUUCGACGUACCCUGUGGUAAAAUCCUAGGUCUGCCACUACCGGUCAUCCAUGAAUAGCAUGUCUUCGAGGAUGACUAGGUACCUCUGAUUGCUUAUUUUUUUUGAUCAAAUAUGAUGAGUCCACUUUCUGUCGCCUCUAUCAGCCUCAAGACAUCCAUAUUGCUUCCUUGUGGUCUGUAGUUUGUGUGGAAUUGAAUCAGCAAGCUCUGGAUGAUCGAACUUGUUGAGAUUGAAAGAUGCAUCAGCUUCACCCAAGCACGGCAUCUGAAAUAUUGACAAAUUUCAGGGUCAAAGUAGGCCUUCUUGAUUACGAAUGCUGUCCCAAGAUCGCUUCCUGUUCCCCACACCGAGAUCACUUCACUUGAAGGGGACCAUCCUCUUUGUUGAUCAGCUUGAUGAGAUCCACUUGGCUGCUCUCACAAGCUGGGUCUCUUGCAUGAAGGCUGCCCAGUGCUGUUGCGUUAGCCACUGCCUGUGGAUGCAUAUGCUCUGACGACUCAAAGCUCGAGUCACCGAUAUGGCUGUAGCGUAGGUUCCUGUGUUCCAUAGCCUUGAGCAGGUCUACGGUGGCAACUACAUCAUCCAGGGCCACCAGCGGCACUGCUGCCAGCAUGACCCGUUGUCCAGUUGGGCGACAGAAUCGAUGCAAUCCUCGACAUCUAAGGCCAUGUUGCGGACCUGCUUCACCAAUGUCCUCAUCAUAUCGAUCAUUUGUAGCACGCUCCGUGGUGACGAUGAGGAAGGAGUGCAUGAUCUCAAACUCAUCUGAGAUAACAAUCAGGCCCUGGUUCACGCUCUUCUGCAACUGUUUCUCCUCCUCAAUGGCCGAUUUGGCCAUGUUAAGUGUACCCUCUACUGCCGUCUUGGCCAAGCCAAGCACAAAGUCCGCCAUUGCUUCACUCUCUAAUCUCUAUGUUUGUCCUGCUCCAGUGGUUACGGUGUGUGUGUGUGGGGAACUUGAAAGGGUAAGCUGGCAUGGAACACUAUAUAACUAAUGCUAGAACUACUUCAUGUUCAAGGUGUGCAAAGAAUCAACAAAGUAAGCUGCACGAAAUUUCACAGGAACAGACAGACAAGAGUGGAUGGUGAAGAUAAGAAAAAAAAAUAUUCCUUGUCGAUGUUCGGAGAAUAGAAUAUAUGGACGCUGCAAAGAAUAUUUUACUUUCCGAUUUGUGAAAAAGACUAAAUAAACUCAUCUACAAAAAUUUCAAACAAACAGCGAGACGCACUAGCAACAAAGAACCGGCAUCCCGCGGAAAUAUUCUCAUGUAGGUCAAACCCAACCCACAUCCCUUUUGAACCAAACACGGGACGAUGUAGGUCGAACCUGUUCCGAUUCACAUCGAUCCGGUAACCAAAUUCACACUAAAAGCACGUAAGGUAACUUUAUUGGCCCAGCACACAAACUUCCUUCUUUCCAUAAGAUACUCUCUUCCUCCAACAAGAUUCCAGACUCUUUUCCUCAACAAGAGUCCUGCAGUUUCACUGGUACACAUCAGUGGCUGCCUUAAUCAUACAAUUGUUUGUGUAGCUUACAAUAAUUAAUAAGGUAUCAUCAAAACUGGAGUUGUUCAAUUCUUGCCCCUUCAGAUAUCAAGAUUAACAAAAAGUAAGACGGUGGGAUUCAGUUUUUAGUGCGACAGGAAUUGGUACCGGCAGCAAUCAGAUUAAAACAUCCAUAUUUAUGUUCAAAUACAAUGUGGAAAAGAAAAAAACAAAUCCAAACAACAGAUCUCCACCGAGCCAUAUAUAGGCAUUGCUCUGAAGCCACUAGGCACUAGCAAUGAAGACUGCAACGGUUGGCGCCCUGCAAUGCAUGCCCUUGCCAUAAGAUACUGAUGAUCAAGGGCCGGCUUAUAGCGCUUAUAUUAGAACAGAGAGAGUAUACAUGAAUCUUCAGUAUCUAACUCGUAGGUACAUAAAAGUAUAGAGCUCAAAUUAACACUAUGGGAUUAAUGAGCCCAAAGUCCAAGAUAAGGUAGUAGUACUAAAAGGCCCAUUUAAACCGGUUGGCCCAAAAUCUGGUAGCUACAGUACAAUUAUGGAUAUGACUUGAGUUAGUAUGGCCCAACGCGUUGCUAAUAAAAUAACCAGACCAGUGGAAGAUCCAGCCUUAGAGAGCCUAGGGGGCUCUUCUCCCUUUUUCUUCCUUGGCUUCCUCUUUCUCUCCCUUUCCUUCAUUCUCUUCCGUGUCUUCUUUCUUUCUCCAUAAAGAUGGUGUGUGUGGGUACCAACUAGGAUCAUGUCAGGUAUAUUGUUUAAUAUUGGCGAGCCAUGUCCGUUAUCGCAAUAUCAGUGGAAGUAUCAGGUUUAUGUUCGUCAGAAUGUUGGUGCAGUGGGUGACCCAGCUGUUGUAUCUUGCUGGACCUUCUACCUGGACUGAAAUGAGAAGGGGGUGAGCGGUAUCUUCUGAGUCUUUGCGGUCAUAAAGUCCACACGGGGACGACAACAACAUUUCUGGACAGCGUAACUGUGUGACAACUCGAAGCUAUUCGUCUAUGUUUUGCACUGCAACAAAUCAUCAUUGCAUCCCACUGUCAUUACCAAGCCAUGUCUUGAUGAUCCCACUGUUCUAUUAUUGAUGGACAGACAAUUGAAAACAGAUCAUACAAAGUAUAGUGAGCGGUCCCUUAUCUAGAUAUCUGAUAGUAUCUCGAUUUCACAAAAUUAACGCUCCACGGCUCACUAAAUAAGGGAGAAAGUAAAUAAAAUCUCUCCAACUUUGAUCUAAACAAUGUGAUGCAAACGAGCUUUGUGCACAAAGAAGAUCACACAGCACAUGUUCCAGCAACAACUUGUACCUGUGUUCCUGGAACAAGCACAUCAAUCGGAUUGCUUUGUUUAUCCGAGCUACCUGUUAAAGAGGUUGCUACUCUCUAGUAACUGUCAGGUUCAGAGAAAGACCUAAAGAUUGAAGUCAAUCUCUUUGCCAACUAACACGAUUUUUUUGGAAUCCCAACUUUGCCACCUACUGUAGCUCGUCUGGCACAUGGGUACAUUUCAGUUGUGUUCUUAUGUUGCUAUCUAUAUAGCCUAUAUGGUAAACAAACAACUAUCUAAUCACUUUUAAGGUACAAAAAGACAUGUUAUUCUUCCCAUGAGGCUAUGAUGAUCAGCAGCUUAGGGCAAAUACAAAUCUCACACUAGCAAGAACAAGGUGCAAUAGAGUGGGUUCUGGAUGAUUCGCAGAUGUUAGACAACUCUGAUGGGCCAUGUUCUUGCAUUUGAUGUUCUUGGAUGGUUGUAAAGUUGGAUGGAGAGAACGAAACAAAUCUCACCGUCGGAGCAUGCUUCAACUUUACAACCAUUCAAACUCUGAAAAGAUGGCUCCAUUGAUUGCCUCAAAGAGUUGUGAACAAGUAGCCAACAUGCCAAACCACAGAUCCUCCAACUUCAUCACUAAAGGAGGAGCUAGUAUCUCAUAUUUUUUUCCUCAAAUAACUGGACACAAAUGGUGAGAAGGUUCAGCAACUAACCAAUAUAAUGCUAUAGAAAUUACACGUCAUAGGCAUGUGUGUCGUUUUCAUUGGGCACCUUCUAUAACAACCGGUUGUUUGUUUGUGGAUUUUGGUCUACGAUGUGGCCCCAAAUCUCCUCCAGUUUGUAGCCAUUCUGGCAAUGUGAUGGUGAUUUCAUUGUGCACGUUGCAAAAUAAGCUGUCGAGUUGGCACCAACUAGGAUCUGGUAUGCUUUUUUUUUUUUUGCCAUGCUGCAUCAGUUGCGUUCCCUGAAUUGCAUCAACGACUAAUUAUGUUGGAACUUGGAAGCAUCUACACAAUCAAUAAUUGAGGUAUCACUGUAUCAGGUUUGCAUAGAUGACUCUUGUCAAUGACACAGAACUAAACUACAAACAAAAUUAUAUCGGCUACUGUAAAAGAGUUGAAAUAUAGAAAUUUUAGAAUGAUUGGGAAAAAUGAGAGCCGUCCAUCCCGAGAAAAUCUAAUACUCCCUCUGUUCCAAAAUGUAGGUCGUUUUGAUAUUUUUAGGUUCAUAGAUUUUGCUACGAAUCUAGAUAUAGUAUAUAUCUAAGUGCAUAGCGACAUCUACGAACCUACAAAAGCCAAAAUGACCUACAAUUUGAAACGGAGGGAGUAGUGGAAACAAAGGAAGUACAUUGAAGUACCUAAAGAAAAGUACCAAAUUGGUGGGAUCAUGUACAAAAAAUACUCCUUAAAUUUAAUUUUUAAUUUUUUUCCCGAUGAGACGGUGGAAACAAAGGAAGUUGAAAUACCAACAAGUACCAAUGGGUACUUUUAAACUAUUGUAAAAGAGUUGAAAUAUGGAAGUUGGGAAAGGGUAGGGAGGAUUCAAAGAAAAAGGACAGCUGCAAAUGGCGCUGGAGAUAAACUGGGAAACAGGACAUGGAGACUUCUAUGGAGAUAGCAUAAUGUAUGCAUUAUCUUAGGAAUCGGGUGUCAUUUUGCAGCACGUUUUAGUUCCUCUUUGCUGAUCCAACGGGAUGGAUCACUAAUUGUAUUCUUGUUCAUAGUAUAUGACUAUUCUUCGACUUGACAGUGUGAAAGAGAAUAUAGUGCACUUGAGAUCACCUAAAAAUUCAGCACCAUCUGAUUAGCAACAAGCAUCACAUUUACUGACUACUGAGAAAAGGAGACAAAUGCAGGAACCCAUCGUUUUCACCUCAUUAUCUCUGCAACAGCAAGCCCUGUUCUGCAAUACCGUCUAUGCACUAUGCAGUUCACUUGUCAGUGGUCUGAAGACAAAUCUGUAUGGGCAUACACAAAGAGACAAUCGACACCAGACCCUGCAGGUUCGCAGUUGCUUCUAGUGUGCAAGCUGAAACUGUAGUGUGGACCCUACGUUGGAUCUGGCAAUGAAAUUAGCAGGGGCCGCGAGCAGAAAUAACACAGGGACCAUUGUUUUCCCUGUCCAUGUACAGUUUCCUUGGUUAUACGAUCAAUCUGGUGAGCCAAUUGUGGCUACUGCACUGAUUUUUCGUCAGGAUUUCAUUGUGGUCUGAAACUCUGAAUCUGCUGCUCCAAGAAAUAUGAAUGAAAAUCUCUGCAGCUGAAGGUAACUAAUGUAGGCUUAAUCCUAGAUGAUUUGAAAUAAUGUAGGAUGAAAACAGAGGUCCAGAAAGAAAAAAAAGAACUGAAUCACGGGAUGGAAUAUGCAAGCCGCAAGGUCCGUAUGCAAAAUUCUGAAGAUGAAAGGCCAGUGGACUCAUCAAACAGUGGUGAUAACAUUAUGGAUUUCGCAGUUAGCUUUCUGUUGCAGCAUCAGAAAAGGAACAAAGCACACAUUAAAUGGAUCACUGGCCGGUGGAACUUCUGAAUGGAACUUUCGAUUCAACUUGCUAUUUCACUCCCUCUACUUUUGUCUAUGUACACUUCAUCUCCUUUUUCCUGAAAAAACUCUACCUAAUCUCUAUCUUUUUUCUUUUUCUGAAACCACGAAUCUCUAUUUUCUAACUCUCCUAAUCCUCACUGGGAGCCCGCCACUGAUGGACGCGGUGAGCCCCGACACGAACUUUGGCGCGCAGGCGCCGCUGCCACUCUCCCCGACGACCUCGACGUCGAACCCUCUCACCACCGCCACGGCGACCGCCUUCAUCUCGGUGAUGGCAAGCUCCUUGCCGAGGCACACACGGAGGCCCGCCUGGAACACCGGGUACUUGUACAGGCUCUCCGGCACGAAGGACCCUCCAGCGCCGGUGAGCCACCGGUCUGGCCGGAACACGCCGUGGUCGGCCCCCCAGAUACGCGGCAUGCGGCCCAUGGAGUAGGGGUGGUACAUGACGCGCGCGCCGCCGGACACGUAGGUGCCGUCGGGGAGCACGUCGGCGGCGGCGCAGAACUUGGAGUCGAACUGCACCGGCGGGAACAGGCGCAUGUUCUCGUACAGCACGGCGUGGGUGUAGUGCAGGCUCUUGAGGUGCUCGUAGGUCACCGGCGUCGAGUCGUCGCCACCGGCCUCGGCGCGCAUGGCGGCGGCCACAGCGGGGUUCUUGGAUAGGAGCAUGAAGAGCGUGGUGAGCGCGGAGGACACCGUGUCGCGCCCGGCGAGGAGGAAGCUGACCACGAUGUCACGGAGGUACUUGUCGUCCACGGCGUGCGCGUCGCCGGCCGAGGCCAUGAACCGGGACAGGAGAUCAUGGCUGUUGGCGAAGCCCAGCUUCCGGCGCUCCCGGAUCAUCGCCGCCGCGAGCUCGUUGACGAGCUUGAUGGCCUUCUUGAGCUCCCUCUCGGACCCGACGUUGAGCAUGCGCUUCACCUUCCACAGCAGCGGCGACGCCGCCGCGCCGCGCAUGGCGCAGAGCCGCGUCGCGGCGUCGAACGCGUUGGCGAGCUUGGACACGGGCAUUUCCCGCUCGAGGCAGCCCGGGUCGAGGCCGAAGGAGAUCUUGCAGAUGGUGUCGAAGGCGAAGCGCCGGAACACGUCCUGCAGGUCGACGACGGCGCCGCUGUCGGCGGCGUCGGUGAGGACUGGCAUGAGGCGGGCCUCCACCUCCUGGGCGAUGAUCUUGUAGGCGUAGGAGCGGACGGCGACGCUGCCGAGCUCGAGGCUGGCCAUCUUGCGCUGGUGGCGCCAGGCGUGGCCGUCGACGUUGAAGAUGCCGCCGCCGAGGAGGUCGCCAAGGAGCGCGGCGAAGGUCUUGCCCUUGGGGAAGUUGUCGAAGUUGGUCUUGAGCAUGUACUCGACGUUGGCCGGGUUGGCGGUGACGGUGCAGCCGAGGACGUGGACGUGGAUGGUGCCGGUGGCCGACUCCCGGAGCUGGUGGGCGUACCAGUCGCCGAGGUUGGUGAAGUCUCUCGCCCACGACCCGGUGAGGUAGGCUCGGCAGACAUGGCAGCUGCACCAUGGCCACCGGCGCACGAGCAGGAGCACCAUGGCCAGCGCCACCAAGCAGAGGGAGAAGGCUGAGAAGGCCAUGCCCGCGCACUGCGCUGCCCAUGGCAAGUCCAUGGCUCUUGUUUCUAGCUAGAAUUAGCUAGCGGAACAGGCCUGGAUCAGCAGAUCGGCAGGAGCGAGAGAGAAAGGAGAGGAAAAUGUGAGUUUGUGCGGCGGAAGACCCAGGAGGCUUUGUCUAUAUAUAACGUGGGUGGACCGGGAAUUCAGCACAUGCCGCACGUGCGCUUUGGCUUUAAGAAACGUUUGUCUAAACCUUUUCCCUUUCCCGCGUAGUACACACAGCUCAUGUCCCCGUCAUUGCGCAACAGCUGAUGACAGUUGGGUCCACAUCGCCAAGGAGAGGGCAGGGGGGGGGGGGGGGGGGGGGGGGAAGGAGAGGAGCUUGCCACCCAAGAGCGCAGUAUCUUAGAGCCUUUUAAUAACAACUCCAAAGUGAUUUUAGGGAGAGCUUAGUCAAACAGUACUUUGUAUGAGUGAUCUGAUUCUCUGAACUAAAUCAAGAUGCUAGGAACUUGGAAAAAAAAACUAGCUUUUCCUUAUUCACUUCUCGUCCAGAAUAAUUUCCAAUAUAAAGGUUAUCCUCAAGAACCAUUUUCAACCAAAAACUUAAUUCUCAUAAAGAAACACUUUUAAAAGAGCUCUACUGAAGAGGUCCUUAGCACAAGGUUGUCUUUGGAACUAAAUCUUGAAAAAAUGUUGUAUCAAAUGCUUAGGUGUUUGAAAAUUCAUACUUUGGGCUUGUGGGGAUUGUAACCUUAUUCAGUUGGAUUUUUCUUGAAAUGGAAAUGUUAGUGAAGGAGAAGAAAAUCAGAAUGGCGUAGCGAGUCAGUUGCACUAAUUACUACCUCUGUCCCACAUAAUAUAGCUACUUCUAGCCAUUCAAAUAUUGCUAUAUUUUGGGAUGGAGGGAGUACCUAGCAACUGUCAGUGAAUUGCAUGCUCUUAUUUUUUUCUCUCUCUUGAUUCAACUACCACAACUUUCUCUCAUGUUGCUUCCACUACAAGUGAAAAGUACAUGAAAAAUAUUUAUUUUAGUGAAAAUAAUUUUGUUUUACAAUUAAGGAGGGAAACGCUAAAAACAAAGUAAAUGUGGACGAGAAACAAAUACACAGGUGCAGUAUCUAGAUCAAAGAGGGUUACGUACUAAGCUAGAGGCUAGCAAGAUAAGGUUACCUGUCAAACCGGGCCGGUAAAUGGUCCAGUCAAUUCAUCAUCGGGUUAAACAUGCAUCAACAAGCUAUUUGACCGUGAAUAAAGCUAGAAAGCAACAAACAAACUCGUGGGAUGAUUGGAUUGCCAUGUAAAUAUUGACCUUUUUAAACUUUUCAUAGAAAAAAUAGGACUGGAGGGCCUACGCCACUUUAGUCCCUAUAUAUCUUGUUCAUAUUCUUUUGAGAAUCCAUUGUUCCAAAGUGAGACACAAAAUACACCAUGUCGAAAAUUAUACCUAGAAAAUAAAGCCUAAGAUUACACUAGUAGAGAAUUGGGCUUUAGUCCCGGUUGGUAGGGUCCAAAUAUCUCGAAAAUGCAUCCGGGAUAAACCAACCGGGACAAAAGGGGGGGUCUUUUAUCCCGGGUCACUCAACCGGGACAAAAGACCCCCUUUUAUCCCGGUUGGUAAUGGGUCACGCACGGCCGGCGCUGCAAAAAAAAAAAAUUCCCGAGCUCCCAGGAGGCCCCCCCACAAGUCACGCGAAAUAUGCGCGUGCGCGGUUCGUGGGAUUCGAACCCACAACCUCCAGCCUCGCGCGUAGCUUCCUUGCCAUCCCACCUACACACCACAUCUGACUAUGUAGGGGAUGCUAUCCUUUUGUAUUAACUCGUGGGGGACCCUUUUAUCCCGGUUGGAAACACCAACCGGGAUAAAAGACCCCCUUUUAUCCCGGUUGGUGUUUCCAACCGGGAUAAAAGGGUUCGAGGAUUUAAUCCCCUUCCAGCCACCUUCCAGUCACCUCGUUGGGGGACCCUUUUAUCCCGGUUUGAAACACCAACCGGGAUAAAUGACCCCCUUUUAUCCCGGUUGGUAUUACAAACCGGGAUAAAAGGCUCUUGACCCUUUUAUCUCGGUUGGUGUUACCAACCGGGAUAAAAGACUUUUAUCCCGGUUGAUGUUUCAAACCGGGAUAAAGGCCUCUCAGAGUCUUUUUUUCCCACUAGCCUUUGCAACCGGGAUAAAAGGUCCCGGUUGGUGAGCCCCUCACCAGUGACCGAGUUUUAGUCCCGGUUGGUGAACCUUUUGUCCCGGACCAACUUUAAACCGGGACAAAAGGGGGCGUAUGGAAAGCCAAUUCUCUACUAGUGUUAGAAUCAAUGUCAUUAGCAUUGAGAUAUAUACUAGGCAGGGCCCUGUUUGUUCGAAGCUGGAAAUUAAAAGGAUAAAAGUGGGCAAAACAUUGAUAAAUUGGGAGAUGGUUUGCUGGCUCGAGCUCGUACAUUUUUAGGCUUAGUAUAAAAACAAAUAAAUAGUAUAACUAAUAAGAUGCAUUUAAGUUUCCCGCAACUGAAUAGCAUUACCAGGCAUUAGUCUAGUCUUAUUAGCGCGCAUUGUAUCAUGGUGCAUAUAAUUUCUUUUUGUGGCAUGUCACAGUUAGAAAGAGAGAAGAAAAGUUGUACUUGGUGGUGAUACUGAUACACUUUGCCCUUGAUAUCCAAGACUAGAAAACCAUACUCGCAUUCUGUAUUUCUGUGUCUACUCUAAAAUAGAACAAUGGCCUAGCUAGGAAAUAAUACAAUGCAAUCCUAGCAGAAUAUGUUAGCCUUUAAUCAUAACAACAUGAUCAUAUAAUGCAUCGGUAAUAGCCUUGGCGAGGAACAAAUACACACUGCAAUGUUAGUUGAAAGUACCUAACGCGACUGCUACUAGCUAGGUAGUUAGUACUUGAUCGGAUUGGUAUGGUGUACGUACUGCUAGUUGAGAUGAUUAAUUGUUGUCUCCGAGAAUCAUAUGUAUCACACGCAUGCUGCAGCUUGCACUUAAUUUAGAGCUGCAAGUUGGUUUAGGUAGUAAUCAAGCAAGUCGGCAGGCAUGCUUGGUCGUGCUGGCGCCAAAAAAAAAAUCCGUACCCCUGAUCCCCGACAGCUGGCGUCCAUGGUUCUUGGACUUGUUUUUUCCCGCGCGUGCUGCGCAAGUGCGCAGCUGGGGUCGUCUUCGAACCACGUACUACACUUCUACUUGAUUCGUUUAUUUCUCGAACCACGUACUGCGUGAAGUGGCCAGCUUCCAAACAUACUCCCUCCGUCCAUUUACUCUCUUGCGCGAUGACCAAGGGAGGGUUGAAGGAGGACCGAUUAUCAUUUAAUCGCGGCUUUGUACUAAAUGCACCGUGGGCUGUUGGGUUUCCAAGUAACCUCUCCGCUAACGCCGUUACCACGCGUCCGCGGCCAGCACGCGCGCUUGCCAUCCGCGGCCCUUCCGUUUUCCGUUUUGCCGCGUGAAAAUUGCCGAGAUCAUCUCCUUAGGGCAUGUACAACUCACGGACAGGUGUUCGUCUCUAAGCGUCUCGAAUCUAUCAUACAGAUAGGUAUAAAGACAGGUCAUACAACCCACCGAUGGGGGAUCCGUCUCUAUACUGUUUAAUACUUUGCAUGUAGCUAGGUACAUAUGGAGAAGAUUUGGGAGAGAGAGCACCUUCUCCCGCGCGCAAAUCACACCUGCGCGUGCGAGCGCCCGGGAUCCGCGCAACGACGAGUCGAGGAGGCGGUACAACGCUGCUGGAGCCAUCUCUUUCGCGAGGUGACGCCGGCUCCGUCUCUACGCUCUCACGGGGUGUUUUCUGUAAAAACUACGCUGAAGGGACGGGGUGAAGGGACCCGUUGUACAUGCCCUUAUUUGCCGCUGUCAUCCUUGAGUCCGCCCAGAUGAAAAAAUUGCCGAGAUCACCUCCAAAAUUAGCCGCGCUCGCUUCAAAAUUUCGAAGCUAAAUUCUGUUGCCGCCUAUGCUCUGGGAUGGUCUAUAUAAGUCUCCAUGGAAGUCAACCCUUGAGCAUGCAGUUCCAGCAAACUCUUUCCUCUCUCUUUCUCUCUAAUUCAUGUUGUACUAGUUCAUCAACAAUGCCUGGACUAGGGAUCGACUUAAAUGAAGCACCACCUGAAUCAGCAUUAAACCAUCCAAUAGAUUGGGAUGACGUAGUCGAUUGGGAUGGCCCUGCCCAUGAACUCGAUUAUGCCAUGGUUUGGGAUGAUGGAAAUCAAGGUGCAGAUUUAAUAAUGAUCCUUGAUUUGUCAUUUGUUUCUUCUGUUCGUCAUCUCAUCUUUUUGUGUGUUUCAUGUCAUAGGUGAUGAAGAUGGAGGAUUACCAGCGCCACCCACAGGAGUGCAAGCACCUGGUACAGUAGAUGGAGAUGGUCAAGGAGCAGAUGGAGAUCAAGAUGCUGCUGCAGUAGAUAGCGUGCAAGCAGAGGGUCUUUCAAAUGGUGAUUUUCAGUUUCUUGUAUUAAUCAGUGAUUUGUUGGUUGGAUCGGGUUCAGUUUUCUUAGUCAGGUUCAAGAUCAGUUUAGUCUAGUUUUUUAGUUUUAUUUGUUGUCGGAUAGAGCGUCAAGUGUUUUUUAUCCAUGCUGAAUGAUCAGUCUUUGUCUUUUAAACCAAUGUACAAUGUCGUGUACAUCGAUGAAAAGUAGUUCUAUAGGACUCGUAGGAACAAAAAUAUUACCUUACAAAUGAUGAAGAAAGACCACAAUGAACAGUUAAAAGCAAAAAUUUUAUUGAGGAGGUGAUGUUCCUAGCUAUGGUUAUGAGGUCUAAAUUUGAUGACAAUGGUCAAUGCAUUUUUGAUGGUAAACUAGGUAUUUUUCCCUUUGUGAAAGUAGAGCCAGCAAAGAGAUGGAGCCCAAACAGGGACGCAGGUACUAAAAAUUGCAAUUUUUUUUGCAUAUCCUGCAUGAAUUAUAAGUCUUAUUAACAAUGUUUACAUCUGUAGAUACCCUUGUAACAAAAGCCAUGACGUCGGUAACAAAAGAAGUUAGCCGAGAUUUCCUUGUGAACAAGGUUCUACCCGCAAUCAAAGCAAAGUGGUCUGCAGAAGAGAAAGGAUUGCCCAUAUACAUACAACAAGACAAUGCUAAGACUCACAUUGAUGUGAAUGGCCCUACAUUUGUUCAGGCUGCUCAAGCAGAUGGUUGGGGCAUUAGGCUCACAUGCCAACCUCCCAAUUCUCCUGACCUUAGUGUAUUGGAUCUCGGUUUUUUUGCAGCAAUUCAGGCACUGUUUGAAAAGGGAACACCAAACAACAUUAACAACAUUAUGGCAAAGGUUGAUAAGGCGUAUCAGGACUAUCCUGUGCAAAGGGCCAAUCGUAUUUUUCUAACCCAGCAGGUUGCAUGAUGGAGAUCAUGAAGCACAAUGGAGGCCAGCACUACAACAUCCCUCACAUGAAGAAGAAAACUCUAGAGUUGCAAGGACAUCUUCCAACUACUCUGAGUUGCCCUUUGCAACUUCACAAUCAAGCCAUGGAGUUCGUCUCUAGUUAGAAUUAGAAGUCAUGUAUGAUGUUUUUUUGUUGCUUUGGUUCGAGUAAUGGAAACUGCAAACAAUAUUAUCCCUUAUUUUUCAAAUGCAAUUCAUCUUGAACAUGAAUAUUUUCAUCCAUUAGCUAACAGAACUUACAGUACUGCUAAACUCAACACAAAAAUUGCUCCAACUAAUACUAGGACUAGUACAAGGAAGGAAAAAUAAUCUUAAACAUGGACAUCUUAGUUUCUUCAAGCUUCUCAGCGUCCAGACCUCUAUCUGGAGUCUUUGGCAAUCCAUUAGAAACAUUACAGUACCCACGACCAAUCCAAAGGUAGGUUGUUGCAGCAUCAUUGACGUCCUCCUCAUGGCGUCCAUACAAGAGAGGCAAUAAUAAAGGAAACAUCAAACUAGAGGCUUCAUGAUUCACCUUGUCGGAUUGAAACUUGUUAACAUCAGUUGAAGCCAGCUUCACUAGGGCAUACACGGUGUCAGGUUCGUCGAUUUCGGCAAUGUCCAUCUAGGAGUCCGGCACCUCAGUCUCACCUACAAAAGUAUCCAUCAUGAACUACACCUCGCUGUCGCCCAUGGGGUCUUCAUCUUCGUUGGUAGAAUCUGGUGCCGAGUUGACACCACGCACGUAAUGGAUCUCAUCAUCGUCGUCCUGGUGAUCCAUCGCAUGCAGCAGCGUGGCAGCAUGGCGGCGUGGAGCUACUCAGCAUCGCGGCGGCAUGGAUCGACUCGGCGGCGCGGAGGCGUGGUGGGCUGGACACUUUCACGAAGGCUAACGGGAGGGAACGGAGGCGGUAUUUGAAGCAAUGAGAGGAUGGCGCCGCAUCAAUUGCCGUGUUUCGUACAAGGAACCAUGAGCGCCUAGGGACGAGGUCCGUAGCUUAAACGAUGCCGACUCUUGGAAAACUUUUUUUUCCUCAGAUGAUAAAUGGACGGAGGGAGUAUAUUGAAUUUUAGUGGAUAUUCGAGAAGUUAGAUUUUAGGAUUCUCAAAAUCCCAGAAGCUCAGCUUGAGUAGAAGUCUAUUUAAUUUGGAUCGGAUCAUAUUCUGAGAAUCCAGAAGCAAGAAACUGCUGACUAGCUUCCAAACAAAUUAAAUUGAAUUCCUGUGGAGAUUCUAGGAGCUAGAUUUUAGGAUUCUCAAAAUCACAGAAAGUAGAGUGGGACAGCUUCCAGUAGCUACCUCACUCUAAGCUUCUGGGAUUUUGCGCUCCUUGAUCCAUUUGUGUCCUCCUUGACCUGAUCCCACUCGAAACUGUCCAGUCUAUCUAGCUGUGCAAUCACGUUGGAUUGUGCCCGCAGCUGCUCUGAUCUUGCGAUGAUCUCGCGCGUGCAGGCUUCGGAUCGGUUGGCCGUGUGAUCCGAUUCUCUGACACCUUAUAUAUACGUGCACCAUCCAUGACGACGACGCAGGACGCAAGCGACCACAAUCGGCACUGGUGGGCUCGGGCCGGCCACGUCGCCGGUCGAUGCAGCUGUGCUCCCGGCGGCCGCUUCCGUCAAAUCGGUCGAUCCGAUCAUCUUGUCGUCAAUUGUAUUCUCCCAUGGGAAUCACGUGAAGAAAGGUGAAAUGUACGGUAACUUACUAACAAAGGUAAUAUGACUUGCGAGCUUUGCGGUGAUAUAAGGUUCCGUUUGGUUGUUGAGAAGCUCCAAAAUUCAUGUCACAUCGAAUGUCUAGAUACUACUAGAAGUAUUAAAUAUAGACUAAUUACAAAACUAAUUGCACAGAUGGAGGCUAAUUUGCGAGAUGAAUCUAUUAAGCUUAAUUAGUCCAUGAUUUGACAAUGUGGUUGUUGGGGGGUAAAUAUUAACGGCCUCCUUAAAACUCCUCAAACAGCGGUCAUAAGGGCCCGGGCCCACCUGUAGCGACAGUGAUCUCCGCCGACCCAACGUGGACAAGGAGAAUUCCACUCCGCCUCGCCCGACCCCUGGUCCCGGGGUCGGACACGCCCGACCCCUCGCCGCAAGGCUCCGCCUCGCCCGACCUACGGUCCUAGGGUUGGACACGCCCGACCCGCCGCAAGGCUCCGCCUCGCCCGACCCUGGGCGCAGGGGGUCGGACUCAUCCAGGCCCACAAGACAAGGAUCCACCUUGGGCGCAGAUCAGCGGACGAGGGCGCAGAUCUCGUGGGCUCCCACCAACCUUGCCAUUAAUGCGAGGCGGCUCUGGCGUGCAGAAAGGCGCCCGCACUCCUCGACGUGGCUCGCCACCGUACUCAGGCGGUACACUGUAGCCACGACCGCACAGGCUACAGCGGCACCGUCCUAGUCCGCGGCCUUCCCUGUUCGCCAUAGGGUGCUCUUUACCCGUACCUCCCGGCAGAGGAGGGAGCGCCGCCCGGUUCUGCGCUCGGUCCGGCGGCAGAGACAUAACGACCACGCCUCUCGGACAGCACGCAGGACUACAGAGGUCGGCCGUCUCCCACGACAUGCACAGUUGCGGCGACCGGACAUCAUCAUCAUGCUUGGCCACGGCGGUCGGACAACGUGCGCAUCACGCACACACGGCGACGGCGGGCAACCAGAGGAUCCUCAACAGGAUCCAACGACAGCCGCCCCUCUCCGGCGGCCACGCUGGUAGGAGAUGAAGGCCGGAAGGGAAGGCGGCGACCCCGGGGACUCGGUCCUUCGACCAGUACUCUGCGUUACCUUACACACUUAUCUCUUUUACUUCUCCUUACGCCUGACUCAUCUGUAACUCCAGUGUCCUCCUUGCGCCAUAAAAGAAGGCCCAGGGGGCCCGAAACAAGGAGGACUCUCAAGCCAACUGAACUCACACCCUCUCCUCACGAGCAUCAGUGCACACCCAAGAGACUUGGGACCAGUUCCCUCUCUCGCCUGUUUGUAACCCCUACUACAGACUCCGCGUGAGUAACACGAGCAGCACCCCAUACUGGACGUAGGGCUAUUCCUGCCCGAACCAGUCUAACCUCGUGUCCUCUCACGCAGCCAUCCGAGCCUUACGCGCAUAAAACAAAUUUAUUUGCCGUAGUCUUGAUCUGCUAAUCUCGACAACGACAGUGGUGCUACAGUAAACAUGUGCUAAUGAUGGAUUAAUUAGGCUUAAUAGAUUCGUCUCGGGAAUUAGCCUCCAUCUGUGUAAUUAGUUUUAUAAUUAGCUCAUGUUUAGUCCUCCUAAUUAGCUUCCGAAUAUUCGAUGUGACAUUAAUUUUAGUCCGGACUAAAGAUCCAAACACCCCCUAAGGCUCGACUGAAUCUUCGUGUUACUUCUGCUGGUGCUGAUACAAUGCUUUUUUAAUUCUUAGGUCAAAGCGGAGACAAUGUUAGUUUUAGGGGGUGUUUCAAUGCUUUUUUAAUUCUUAGGUCAAAGUUGAGACAAUGUUAGUUUUAGGGGGUGUUUGGAUACUAGGUGCUAAACUUUAGUAAAGUCAUAACGGAUGUUCGGAUGCUAAUUAAGAGGACUAAACAUGAGCUAAUUAUAAAACUAAUUGCAGAACCCGUGGGCUAAUUCGUGAGACAAAUCUAUUAAGCCUAAUUAAUCCAUCAUUAGUAAAUGGUUACUGUAGCACCACAUUGUCAAAUCAUGGACUAAUUAGGCUUAAUAGAUUCGUCUCGCGAAUUAAACUCCAUCUAUACAAUUAGUUUUGUAAUUAAUCUAUGUUUAAUACUCUAAUUAGUAUCCAAACAUUCAUAGGAUAGGUGCUAAAUUUUAGGGUUGGUAUCAAACACCCGUAGCAAACCAAGCUGGCGGCGAGCAUCAUGCUAGCUGCUUGCGUACAAGAUGAUGACGUACGUAUCUUACGUGGACACGCAUCUACUUUCUGCACUAAUUGUCGGUAGGCCAUUCAUCGCCUGAUCGAGAAGAUGAUUCGGUUUUUUGGACACGUGGCGUGUGACCCCACCCUCUCUAAUUAAAAUAGGUCUAUAAAUUGAUGUGUGUAGAUCCGUAUGGGUGCAGCGUGUGCUAUCACUUGGACAGCGAGGCGGGACAGAUCGAUCGCGAUGCGGCUGGCUAGUGCUCUGCUAGCUGUGUGCUGUCAAGCUGAUUGGGACUGGCGAACUGCCGUGUCCCUUCAGUUCCCGUCCCUGCCACACGUACGUACGCCGCCGUGGCCGCGGAUCAGCGGCAAGAAUUCCGCACGCUUUAAUUUCCCACGACCACCAUGCAUGCAUGGGAGGCGUCCGUAGUCCGUACACCUCUUGGAGCCGAUCUUUAUCUCUUUGGGGCCGGCACCAGGCGUGCUUUGUGGAAUCUGUACGAUCCACCGCCAUUGCAUCAUUCAUGCCACGCCGGCGCUAAGCCAAUGGCGACCUUUGUUUUUUUGGAGCCAAACGAAUGGUAACUUUGAUUAAACUUUCAUUUCCUUUAGGUUUUUCCAUGACGAUGGCAUCACCGACCAAACUUAAAAAUGAUCUGUGUGGUACGGCGUGGGGCACUGCCUAUGGGAAUGGGUAUAAUCUAUCUAUGUACUGACUUUUGUGACCAUUUAUUUUAUUUAUUCCUGAAUAAAGGUCAAAGUGAGGUUGCACUAAAGGAGUGUACUAUAAGACCCUUGAAUCAUUUCUUAAACUCAAUUCGAAAGAGGAAAACGUGCCUGCAAAUACAAGCAAUAACUUUUCUAGAUGAUCAGUUGGUGAUCGGGGCAAUGCUCAGUAACAUUCCAAGGCCUGCUCUUCAUAUAUAUUAGAGGGCACACCUUUGUGUUCAACUGAAUAUUCCACCGAAAGCUAUAGCACCAUCACAAUUCUGUAAACUAGUCCAACAAACCGUGCAUCCGCGCACGGGCUAAUACUUUUAGAUGACAUAUAGGUUAUUAUUUAGAUUAGGGAGAGCCAUCAAAAAUAUUUUCUAUUUUUUGCUUUCUUUUAUGUGUUAUUUUCUUAAUGCUUAUGAUAUCAUAUAAUUUAAAUAGUACAUAAUACAUUAAUGAGCAUUGGUUGUUAUGAUUGGGUAGUGAGACCAAUACAUUUUUUAUAGUGCAUACUAUGCUUUAAAAUUGGUAAUAAGUACAAUGACAAUAAAAAAAAAGGAAAAUCACUAUGUUUCAUGCCGUCUCCUCGGUACUUCCCAAUGUAGCAGAUAUUAAUCAAAUUUGAGUAUAUGAGCAUGUGGGAGGCCCAUCUUUUGCAACUCAACCAUGUAGAUAUCUACAUUGAAAAUGGAUAUUGUUAGCUCACCUAUAAAUGAAUAAUUAGCAACAUACUUGAAUAUGAGAUGUUCAUAUUUACCUGUAAUAGGUUCCCAACAUUGUAGUCCAUGUUUUAUGUCUCUCGUCAAUUUCUUCAUGUUAUCUUGAAACACUGUACUGUUGAUGUCAGGCAAUGGUCUUUGACCUUCUCCUUCCUCAACGACGUUACACAUAAAUGACACAAAUAGUUUAGGGUGUUGAACAUAAUAACAUGUCAUCAUAGCAUCUUGGUGGUUUUGUCCCUGUAAACAGCACGCCUUUGUAAAGGAGACGAUAAUAUUAUCCUCUUUCCAACAUGUCCAUCUCUUGUGUCUUCUUCUAUGAAUGUUUUUUUCUUGGUAAAAGGUUCCUCAGUGUCUACCUCUUCAUUCAGUAGUUAUUGUGUAGCCUUUGUAUGAGUUGUCUUCUACUUCCUUCAAAUAAUCAAAAAGAAAAUAAAUUUAGGUCAGAAUUUGUUUCAUCGAUACAGUAAACUUAUCAAAUAGUAAGGAUUCAAAAGAAAAAGUGCAAUAAAAUACUUAGUAAUAAUGAAAAUGUGUUACCUCUUUGACACUUUGCAUGUUAAUUGUUGAACUGCUCUUUUCUGUUGGAAAAAUAUCUUUGGAACACUAUAAUCAGGUCAAAAACUUGUCAAGUUGUACUCGGUCAUUCUGAACUGAAAAACAUUGUUUGUCCACAUAUCUGUUGAUUCAUUAAUUACCAUUUGUGCUUCCUUGUCAAAAAGUACACAAGAUGCAACUGCUGUUGGAUCACUUAUUGUAAAGUACUAAAUAAUUUACCGUGCUAUAAGUUUAGCUCUCUUGUCACAUUUAUUGCAAUAGUAGUGAUCAAAUUUCGUUUCAAGUUGCUUCUUACAAUGCCUCUACUACAUGAGAUGUAGUACAAACCAAAAUGUUGCAUUAGUUUCAUUUAUUGUUGCUUCAACGGUAAUUACUUUAUCCUGUAAGUAGAAAAAAUACCAUCAGUGUGUGUAAGUCUUUAAACAGGAUAGUCUAUAAUGAACAAACUAAUGCAUACCUGAUUUGAUGUGUCAAACAAUAUCGAAUUCAAUUCUUCUAAAGUUCUUCUGUUGUACUGCAUAAGGUCUUCCAAUGUCCCUUUUAGAUGGUCUUCCAAUACCAUCAGUAUGUUUUAAAGUUCUUCUAAAUCCCUCUUAUAAUAUUAUCAAUUGAACUAACGCUUUUUUCAUAAUUCAUGUUAGAGUGCAGGCUACAUAGCUUAAAAUAGAAAAAUAAAUAUCUAAAUUUGUUUUAAUAUUUUAUUUUCUUAGGAGGUUAGUUUGUUGAAUGAAAAAUAUUGAAUAGCUCAUAUCAAAUGAUGACUUACUGUCAAAUUUCCUCACAGUUGUAGAUGUUAUUAUGAUGACAUGGGAUUUUAUCUUAUCAUCAACCUCCUCAAAUUUGUCUCCCCAAAAUCUAACUUUAACUUCAUGGUCACUGCAAAUUUAAAAUUUUGUAUUUAACUAUCUGACUGCAAAUUAAAUUGUUUGGAGGGGCACUAUAGAAGAUAUUUUGAUAUUUUGAGUUCAACAAAAGUUCUGUAGCAUGCAUGUAAACAUUGAAAGUUUUGUAGUUGUUUUGGAUGAGAGAAAAGUGAAUUAACUUCCUACUCGAUCAAGAGCACAAUAUCAUGGAUUUUGAUCAAACAAAAUGGUUUAGUAGGCGUAACACAUGCCAUGAAAAAUUAAUCUAGUUGUAGAAGGGAAAUUAAACAAAUUAAUGUCUUUCUCACGUGAGAUUUGAAUGGUCUAAAAGGUUCCCUGGCCGUAGCACUUGAACCUUCAAUAGGAAUAACAGUUCAGAGGCAAUUUGAUCGUACCUUUCUAUUGAAUAGCAGCAGGGUCUAGUUCUGUUGAUGAAAGUAGCAGCAGACCCUAGUUGAUGAAGCAGUACACAAAACAAAAGAGUUGUUCGGCAAAGACGGCAUCUCUCUUUUUAUAUACACGCAAGAGUAUCUAAUUUAGUUGUAUUAGCUAACAACCCUUUAGGAUAGAUUGUUUUAUGAUUUAAAUAUGGGAGAGAGAUUGAAGGCAAGAGAUUACGCUAAAUUUGAUCGGCAGGCAUCUCUAUAUGCACAUACGUAUCUAGUUUGUUUGUUGGUUGUAUUACAUAAUUAAGGAUUCUUUAACGAUAUACUCUUUUUAUGGUUUAAAUAUGGGAGAGAAAUUAGGGGCAAGAGAUUAAUUGUGUCACAUGUGACCGGCAGGACAGGGUAGUUAGACAAUUUUUUAUUUUAUUUCAAGCAAAGAGAUUUAUUAUGUAAGAUGUGACCGGCAGAUCGUUUAGAUUAAUUUUUUCUACAGUGGAUAUGUGAGUAAUUUAGACAUAGAUAUAGGAGUUAUUUUGUUAAUUCUUUAUAAUGGUAUAUGUGGGUAAUUUUAGAAACAGAGUACAUCUAACGGCUAUUAAAAUCUUACUAGUAAAGCAAGAUGUUUUGCUUUUUUUUAGAAUUUAUAGGAUUUCUCAAGAAUGUCCACCUAGAAAUCCUAAGUGGCUUCACCUGGAAGCUUCAAAAGGAACCUCGAAUUAGUAAAAGGAAGAUUAGUUACGGGUUUACGCCGCAUAUUUUACGCAUGACGGUACGGUCAAACGGAAUCGAUACAGUAAAUCUGUGUCACUGCAUGGGCACCAAAAUCCGAUCCUUUUCGUUUUCGUCCCGCCGAUCCAUUCAACGGGUCUCAAGGUCAUCAGUGUCCCGCGCCGCCAGGCAGUGGAGAGAUGUGUGCCGGCGCCGCAGAACGCACACAACAGGCGGCGGCGAAUGGUGGAAGGCAUGCCGUUGUCGCCUUGUCGGCCACGCUGCACCACACGUACCACGACGUUCGGUGGUCGACAUGUGGAUUAACGGUCCUACUAAUCUCGUGCACAUGCAUGAUGGUUACUGCAAGUAUGGGCCUGCUAGCUUUAUUUGGCUGCUUGAUGGGACACUUGUCGCACGCUCACAUAUCUUGCAUGGGAGACUGCAGGAACGCACCAUUAUUGCGAAAAAAAAGGCUCAGCAUGGGCGGAAGUCAAAUUGUCAAGUUUGAUAAAUUAUCAAAUUUAUAAGGAAGAGUAUCGAUAUUUAUAACAUUAAAUAGGUAUGCUAUGAAAAUAUAUUUUAUAAUAAAUUUAAUGAAAAUUUGUUAGACAUCAAAAGUUGUUGGAGCCCAAAAGUGGCAGUGGUACCGAUCAGGCUUGUAGCCGAUCUGGUGCAUGUCCACCGGUCCGGUGGCCCCGACCGGUCAGCCCGAGUCUGAAAUAAUUUUUGGAGUCCAGGGCGAAUCGGAGAUGAAGCGGGAUUUUCUUGCGGGAAAAGACCUCCCGCCCUAUAAAUAUAAAGGGCCCUGACCGAUUGAGGGCAACCAACCCAAUCGUUAAAAAAGACCUCCCGCCCUGUAAAUAUAAAGGGCCCUGACAGAUUGAGGGUAACCAACCCAAUCGUCAAACACAUUUACCUACUUUUUACCUCCAAACCCUAGCUUUCCAACCCCCUUGCUUUCCUCCUUCGUCUCGACAGCAUUUGAGGACGUUCUGAGUGGCCUGACCGAUCUCAGAGCAACCCUAGGCCCGCCAUCUCCGACGGGGUCCCUCAUGAGGUGGUGAACGUAGGCUUUCGCGGUGCCCCUACGAGGAUCGGUCUGACCGGACCCCCUAACCGAUCUGACCGGCCAGGUGCAGAAGCCUCACGAGGUGAUCUUUUGAUUUGCGUGCGAACCAGCGUGAUCGUGUGUUGGCCGGAAAAGGCGCCAACAAAAGUAUUGAUAUAUUUUUAUAUAAAUUUGGUCGAACAUAAGAUGAUUUGACUUAGGACAAAACUCUAUACGGAACCGGAGGAGUAGGUGGUUGAGUAUUAGUUUUUUUUUUGACCUCGUAUCUUUCUCCUUUCUUGCAUCAUGAGGCAUUGUUCCAACUUUCCCAGUGCUAGCCACAAUUAUUUCUUUUUUAAAAGACUGCAGGAACGCACCAUUCACAAAACAGGGGCGACCUCAGUCAGCAUGGGACGGCGGCACGCUUGAUGCAAGCGCUCACGUAACCCUCGUAACUGAGGGUUUUUUUUUAACCUUGUCUCUUUCUCCUUGUUGGAGUAGAAACUACGUGCUCUGCAUAUGUGCUUUAGCCUUUAGUCAAAGGAUGUUCUUUCUUGCGUCGUGUUGCUUUGCUCCAACUUUCUAAGUAGUAGUAGCAGCUACAAUUAUUUCUUUUUAAAAGACAGAGCCGUGUCAAUUUUAAUGCCGCAGCUGAGAUGCUGGUAGCACUCAAGCACAUCCCUUGCAUUUGAUGUUCUCUUCCGGCGCAAAUUCAGAAUACAACCCAAAACUGGAUUAUGAUUGCUUCCGCCUGAAACAAUUUGUGACGGCAUGAAUUUAGCAUUGUGCCCACUUCAUGCUGGUGAUGAGGAAAAAGUCAGGAGGAAUACGAAAACCUGCUCAUUUAGACGGCACCGAAAACUGAGAAAUGAGAGCCCCUUUUUAUGCUUUCCACUCAGGCUGCUUGACCUUUAAAGUACAUGUACAGACAUGCUUGGAUUAUUGGAAAGCCAGUGCUGGUAAUUCUAUUCCGAUAAAAUAUUCGCACCAUGAAAAAAAAUGUAGUAUGUCCAGCAUGGAAGCAGUUGAGUAUAUACGACAGUAUCUUAGUAAGUCGAUAGGGAGAGGUUAGGAUAAAUGGGCACAUGUGGAUGUGCAAGUGCGGCCGCUUUAGCUAGGUUGCCGGGCCGCAUUUGAGCUACAAAACAAGCACAUUUUGCAGGCCUUAUCUGCAAACAACUGCAGCUCUAUCUUGCUGUUACAAGGGCAAAAAGGAUUGACGCCUAUAUAUACACGAGAUUAAUUGUAAAUGGUUGGAAAGAUCAAACAUCUGCAUCAAACCUUAUUUCUAAUGUACCACUGUUUGAAAUGAUGGCCUUCCUGCCUGAAAGAGUUGUUGUGAACAAGUAGCUAACCAACCAACAAGUCAUAGUCCCACACUAGCUAGCAGAAGAGGUAGCAUCUAGUCAAUGUAAUUGGAAUAAGCACCGCUGCCAUGGCUGAUUUCUUAUCCAAAUUCGUGGACUGCGAGCCACUAUAUUGCGGCCCCAAAUUUCAUAUCGAUUAAUUCUUGCCGUACCGGCAACGGCAAGGUUAUGUUAUUACGCACGUUGUAAAUCUGACAUGAUGCGAGAUGGUCGGUGGUAUCAGCGUCAACUGGAUAGGGACAAAGUGUAUUCAAGUGGUGCUCCAUUCUGUCUCCCUAAUUCCGUCAGUGACUUAUUGUACUGGGCAAAGAUUACAUUACUACAAAGUUAGUAAUGCAAGCAUCAAGCUUACAUAGGUGAUGACGAAGGUGUCAGUGCUAUAAGACGCAGUGGUCAGGACACGAAAAUGAAAGUAACAAGUACUUUAGUAAUGCACAUCAUUUUUUUUUACGCGAACAGCAGACUGCACAUCAAUUUUAAUUGGGUGCAUCUUAGGUAAAAGUGAAACUCUACAGAUUUGUUAAAAACUUUGCUAAGGAGUCGCCACAAAUUGUUAAAUACUCAAAGCUGUAGGUGAUGUUAUGUUGUCAUCAAUCCAUGCAUUGAAAUUUGAGCAUGCUGUUUGUGAGAUUAAACUAUAAACACAUUUCUAGGCCUUUUUUGUCUAUGCAAUCGCAAUGCUAUUGCAGCUGAUGUUUAUCUUACAAUCAAGAUUAACUUCGCUCUUGAGAUUUUGCAUUGAUUUAGAACAUAACAUCACCUAAUUUGUGGUUUAUAAUUCCUCAAUUUUUUUAGUUAGGUUUAAUUUUUGACAAAUUUGUAAAGUUGCAAUUUAUUGGCUGUUUUUCAACAUUGGUUCAAUUAUAUGAGAAUCGAGCACUGGAAUAUAGUCAAUAAUACGAACAAGCUAUUGGCUAUAUUUCAAAACAUGUUACGGUCAUAAAUAAUAAUGACAUAUGAAAAUAAGUCAAUCUAAAUAUAUCUAAGGGACCGGUGACAAAAAUAGCCUUUUACAUUAAUCAUCCUGUUGGGUAUGUUAGUAAUUUUUCAUUUAAUUUAAUCCAGAAACAAAAAUAUAUAACAUGAUAGUAAACAUAGAUAGAUUAAUCAUGUUGCAGAUACUAAUUAAACUAGACACGUGCCUAAAAAAAGUAAACUAUGCAUGCUAAGAAAAUACUAGCACAUAUACCUCAUUAUUUGCACAAACCAGAGGAAUCCCUAACACUAUACUCUGUUCGGCUGGCUGCUUUGCAGCUGGCUGCUGCUGCUCGCAAGCAGCUGUAGCAGCACGCACCAGCAGCCGCCAUGCACUAGCCGAACAACGCCACAUACAUACAUACAUACAUACAUACAUACAUACAUAUAUACAUACAUACAUACAUACAUACAUACAUACAUACAUACAUACAUACAUACAUACAUACAUACAUACAUAUAUAGCAGCAGGGUUGAAGAGAAUAGUAGUUGCCAAAGUUAUGUUUUGCAAAAUCUACUACAGCACGUACGCUAGCUUGAUUACAUUAUUAAUUAUCCCCCUUUAAGAAAUUUCCAAGGAAAAAAUUGAAGGACCGUACAUAUAUAUUGAUCGAUCUGCAUGCAGAAGCCGGGGAAUAGUCGCGGCACAUAUUUUGCUCGUGGUCGAAUGGCAGAAGAGAAGAAAUUUGAUAUCUCUCUAGACUGCAGAAAGCAAACCAAAGAAUUUGUGUGUACGCUAUCCUAUCCACCACCACCAGGACUAAGCAAACACUCCCACAAGAAUGAAAACAACCUUCCUCGCAAAAAAGAAAAAAAGAAACAAAAAAUGAAUGCAAACAACCUGCGCAGGACAGGACCCUUUUUCCGCGUACCUGCACGGAUGCGUCGUCGGCAUUUUCGUCCCCGGCGCCCCGCGCGUGGCGCCACCGGUGGAUCCAAACGCGUCGCCGUCAGAAAAUCUCACGACCGGCCACCUAAUUAAGCAAGGUAAUACAGAGAUCGUCCAAGCAAAAUCGCAGAAAACUCCUGGAAACCGGGCUCUGGUUUGGGUCGCCAGUAAACACAAUACGUGACGGCCGCCGUACGUCCUUUCGGUCUCGUGGGCUGCUUCGCAUGAUCUUCGUUCCUGCAGUGUCCCACGUCCUGCUGUUCAUUUGGACGUCGGCCGCCGACCAGAGAGGCCUAUUAUUCCUGCCACCUUUUGCUUUCCAGUCGUCAGCAGGCUGCUAGGUUUUUGUAGCACAAAUGCAUGGGUUCAUAUGUAUGCAGAGUAGGGGAACAGAACGAUUACCUCAAUUCAUCAUAAGAUGUUCAAAGACAAGGAUAAAAGCAUGCUCAUAGAAGAGCACAUGUGCGCCGGUGCAAGUGCGGCAGCUUUGGCGCUUUCGGAGUCGGAGCUACAACUCGCUGCGCGGUUCAUACGAGGCUCUGCAAAUGGUUCGGGAAGCACAUUUUGAAGCAUGUUGGGCUUAAUUCUCUAUCUGUCUUGCAACUCAGCCCAACUAGGCCCGCAAGACCGCCAUCACCUUCCCUGAUUUCCCUUCUGCCGCCUCACUCCAGUCCUCAGUCACAUUCAGGGUUCGCGCACGGAUCCCUGACGCCGUUCGCCCGUGUUCUUCUGCCCCCCAAAUCAACAGAUCAGCGCCGCGGAAUCUAGCAGCCCGUUCGGUUGGCUGCGGCUGGGCUUUUUGCGGCUGGACUUUUCAGCCCAGCCGUUCGGAUGGCUGCGGCUUCUAGCAUCCACGGAAGCUGUUGGAAGGGAUAACGACGCGCCUCCAGUGCCUCCCUCUCGCCCCCUUCGUCGCUUGCUCCCCUCCGUCCCUCGCUCCGGAUCCGCCGCCGCCGCUCCCUCCGCUCCCCCGCUCCGUCCCCUCCGCCCGGUCUGCGCCGCCGGCGGGCCCUCGGCUCGGCCGCUCCGUCGCGCUCGCCCGCGCGACGCCGCCGUCCGUCCUGCUUCUCCUCGCCCCCUCCGUCCGGCGCGGCCCGUCCGGAUCCGCCGCCGGUGCAGCUUCCGCUCCGCCGCUCCCUCGCUGCCGCGCGCUCCCCGCCGCCGGUGAGGCGUGGAGUGGCCCUCUCCCUCCCUCCCAUCCGGCCGGGCGACGGCGCCGUUCCUCCCGCUGGACGUCCCCUCCGUCCCUCGGUCCGGAUCCGCCGCCGCCCGUCCCUCCGGAUCCGCCGCCGCAGCUCCGAGCCGGCGCACGCGCUGCCGCCGCCGGUGGGCCGUCGGGUGGAAGGACCGUCUCCCGCGCCGUCGCCCCCUGCAUCCCCUUCGCUCACAUGUAUGGAUGCUACCCCAUCCGUAUGCCGCUAGUGAAUGAAUGAAUGCUUUCACCUCACAUUUCUGGAUGUGAUUCCUGUUAGGCAUGAAACCUGAACACCUCAACCUUGAAUUAUACCGCCGUUGAUUUCAUCGGGUUGCAUUGUUUGAUAAUAGUCUGAAACAUUCAAGUGGACACUGAAUUGGUUCAUUAUUUUUCUGUGUGUUAGAAGGGGACUAAGACAAUCACUGUGAAGCGAAGACAAGUCAUAGGUUGAUAGAUUGUGUCCCUCUCGCCAAAUGCCUAUUUAUCAUGGUUAAUGUGUUAUGCUAAUCCUGCGUUCCUUACUUUCAUUUGAUAAUUCUGGGUUUGUACUCAAUAGUUAGCAAGUAGUGUCCUAAUUACUACUAAGGCUGGUGUCAAUCUCGAUUCAAUUUUUGCACCCAGCAGCAAAAAUGUGUAAAAUGCUUCCUGUUUUUAGACAUGCUGCUGGGCAACUGACUUGUUUGAGUAGGGUUUGAUUUUUCUAUGGGAUACUCAGCAUCAUGCAGAAUCUUUCUCAUGAUUGCUGAAGUUUUGAGCUUUCUUCAGCGGGCAUGCUCAAUCUGAGCUCAUGACUGUUCUGCGUUGCAACUUUUUGCAAACCAUUGCUGUUUCUGCGCAACCAAAUAUGAAGACAUUUCACUACAUAUAAGAUCUAGUCAAGUACAUACCUUAAUGCUUAUUGUUGCCCAUUGUGAUAAAAGGAAGGCCUCAAACUAGGAUUGAGGUUAUUUCAUGGGUUAUUCCUUACAGCAAGGGUAUCUGAAACUGAAAUAUCAGGUUAUAGCUUGAUUGGUUGAUUUAAUUUCUCCCCUGGUUUUGGAGGCAUACUUUCUUCUCCCUGUUUCCCUGUUACAUACUAGACUACUUCAUAGUUAGCUGACAUAAGUAGCAAUGGAAAGUUUAAGCGAACGUGGGUGGAAUUAUGCGUUUUCUCAUGAUAUUUGGACCUUUAUUUCCUUUUCAAGUAUGCAAGUAUUUUUUUAGAUAUACUGUGAGAAGUUUGCUGAAAGUGUACAAAAUAUAAGUAUAAAUGCAGUAUGAAUUGACAAUGUCUUAGAGACUUAGUUGGAGUAGACAUUAGCCCUUUGACUGCACCAUGAUUGUCAGCUAAACUAAAAAGGUCCUGAUAACAUGCACUUCCUGAUUUUUACUUGGAUCUUAGAGGCAAGUCUCGUGAAUAGCAAUUUUUUGCCACUGAUAGUCGAAGAUGCAAGCUGAAUGUCACAUUGUGCUGACCUUGUGAUUUCUUUUUGUCACCUUUCAGGCUUCAGGAGGAAGGGUGCAAGGAACACAACACUGAGGCAGAUUCAAGGGUGCCCACACUGGCAUCGUCAUCGACUGGUUCCUGCUCUCCCCCUCCCCCCCGUGUGCCCGUACAAUUUCCGCCACAAACGCCCCAAAGCACCUGCUAAGGCAAGUAACAAUUUCUUUAUUUUACAUUGCUUAGUUGUGUACGUAGGUCGUAGUUGUCCAUAGAUCGGUGCCAUAUAAUUGCAGCUCCUGUGUGCUCAGAUGAAUAACUGUGCCAGCUGGGAUGAGCCCACGACAAAAAUUUUGCUGGACUUGUGCAUUGAACAGAAGAACCAGCUCAACUGGAGCGAUAGAUGCCUCACUAAGUUGGGAUGGAGGAAUGUGCACUCCAGGUUCAGGGCAGAAACUGGAUUGCAAUUGGGAACGAAGCAGCUGCAGAACAAGCUCAACAACUUGAGGAGGCAAUUCUUCGGCUGGCAGGCAUUGCAAACCUCAUCUGGUUUAGGGCGCGACACACAAACUGGUGGUGUGUCUGCUGAUGCCACGUAUUGGGAGCAGUACCAACAGGUACGGACUUUGCGACGGCCCUAAGUUACUGAUCGUCUUACUUGUACUGUUUUGUUUGCGAUGCUGAUAUUUUACUUUGAUGGGACAUUGCAGGACACCCAGGCGAGGGUCCCAGUCGAGUUCUGUGAAGCCUCCACCUUUCCUCAACGAGUUGUUUGAGUUGUAUGGCCACGAACCCCAAGAUAGGGGCACCUUGCUGACGGCCGGAGGUAUUCGUGAGGACACACCUAGCAUGGGGACUGAGGGCAAUUUCGUGGACUUGGAGCAGGACCCCGCCCCUGCUAGUAGUGCUCGUGUCAGUGCUCGUGCCAUGUCAAAAAGGCCGGUCCGAGAGUUCUCUGUGGACAGUCCCACCAAAAAAAGAA